AAUAUAUAUGUAUGUGAAUAAGCCUCACCAGAAAGGCUUCACAGCGACCCAGGAAGGACGUGAGCGAGCCAAUGCAGCAACCAGGAAUGAUGACAAAGGCAGUGCAGCAACCAGGAAGGACGUGAGGCAGUGCAGCGACCAGGAAGGACGUGAGGCAGUGCAGCAACCAGGAAAGGAUGACAAAGGCAGUGCAGCAAAGACGAUGGUUGUGCAAUGGUUUUGCAGUGGCGGUAAAAUACAGCGAGAAUGCAGUGGCUGCGCAGUUGGCUGUGAAACUGUUGUGUAGUUGUGGUGUCCAGAGAAACAGGCAAACCUGCGCAAAUAUGAAGCAGCAAGCUUCUGGGCAAAUAGACAGAACUACACUUGAUAGGUGAAAAUUUUCAAGCCGAUGGGAAUGGAAUAAGGAUCAAGUGCCUGUCUAAAAGCCUCACAGGAAGGCUUACUUAUACACACCAAAACAGACCAACAUUACAGAGCACAUGCCGCGAAUGAUGAUACUCACAUGCAGCAAUCUUUUGUUAAAGCUGGAAAAGCUUUAAACGCCUAUAUUUACCUGCUAGCAAGCAGCAUAUUUGGGGAAAAAACAAAGACAUACAGCUUUAGCUGUAUGUUUGAGAUUGAAUAAUCACCAUGUAGGUCAUCUUCCCACCGUCAGAUAUCUAAUGGCAGCUUGGUGUCAGCAAAUCGUGUGUUGAUCUCUUGGCCUCAGUGGCCUCUUAUCCUAAUCCGGACGACAAGAUCAAAACAACCAGAUUCAAGGAUCAAGCAGGCGGGGAAAAACAGGCAAUGCUUUAACAUGUGCAGCCCGCCAGCGAUUAAGUCCGAAGCUGAUUUCCAAGGUUUCAGAUGAUACACAAGGCAGGGCUAUGCUGCAUGAGCUACAAACCGACAGCAUAGGUACUUCUUUGUUACGACAUGGACAUGAGGAGCAUCUGUUCGAGAAGGCGCCCACCACCUUAGACGAACGAGAAGUACGUGGACGUGCUGACGACGUCGCUGUCGCUUAAGGAUGAUGCUGACGGUGACGGCACCAAGCUCACCGACACUGAGAUUAAAUAUGUUGAAGAGGCCAUAUUCAAACGUUGCGUGCUGUCGCUGUUCCUGGGUCCACCACCUCCACUGCAUACAUUUUCAGGUCAUGCAUCCAUUUUCUCCUAUCUGUUCAUACUUUCUGAGUGAUCAGACAAAGGGAGAUCGGACAUCACUCAAAACGCUCAAAAUCUGGAGAAAAGCAAAGGCAGAGGUGCAAAGCAAAAGUGAAAAGGAAGAGGAAAAGGAAAAAAGAAAAGCAAAAUAAAAAAAAAAUUAAUUUAAAAAAAAAAAUCAUUAUGAUUUAGAUUCAUUUUGUCUGCCAAGAGACAGAGACAGUUGGUGAAAUAAAAAAAUAAAAAAUAAAAAAUAAAAUAAAAAAUAAAAAAUAAAAAUAAAUGAAUAAAAAAAUAAUAAUAAAAAUAAAGAAAAAAAUGUACGUAUAGACGCUAAGUGAAAUAAAGCUCAUUUAUUAAUGUUUUCGAUAAAUUAAAAAUAUGUACAUAUACAUAAAUCAAAAUAAACAAACGAGAGAGAGCCUUCACAAAAGUUGCUCAGGCGGAGCCUUCACAAAGGUCGCUCAGGCGGAGCCUCAGCAGUCGGCGGGGCCACAGAAGGAGGAGGUAUCGGAGGUUGAUCAUUCGGAGCUUUACUACGCGGUACAGCCCCAGAAGAUGAAGGCAAAUGUUGUUAGAACAAACCCACAAACCUCCGAUGAUCAAGUAAAAUCUGACCAUCAGAUUCCUGCAUCUGGUCGAUUUUCCUCUUCAUAUUGGUGGCAUAGUUGUGUGCGAGCUUGUGCAGCUGUUUAUUCUCAUGCUUGAGCCCUCUAAUCUCCUGUUUGAGACUCAUCACUUCAGCCGCCAACGAUUCAACUUGACGGGUUCGAGCAAAUAGGCGUUGGGCCAUGUUGGACACAGAACCCGCACACUGCACACUAAGGGCCAGAGACUCCUUAACAGCCAACUCAUCAGACCGCUUGGAAAGCAAUCUGCUAUCUUUGGGAGUGACAAGGUUCCGGGCCACCACCGCAGCGGUCAUAUCAUUCUUCAUCACCGAAUCCCCAACGGUAAGAGGACCAGUAGGGGAUAUGAAUGAUGGGCGCCAUAUGUUGUCUGGAGAAGGCGGGAUUGCCUCUUCACCAAGAUUCAAGUCAAAACGACGGUCGGAAGGUCCAGACAUUUUCAAAGGUGUUGAAGAAAGAAGAGGUCAGACAGAUCAAGACCUUAGAAGUGCAAGAAGGGAGUUUCUGCAAGCGAAAAUUCAAGUGUGCUUGAAACGAACUGCGUGCCUCUAUAAAAAUCAGCACUCAAUGGGAUUUCAGAGAUCGAAGAGGCAAGCUCAGAGUUCGAAAAUGCCGAUUCAAAAAUCGAAGAGGCAAGCUCAGAAAUCGGAGAAGCAUCUUGCUUUUCCAGACGCAUUAGCCCCCGUCACACGCAAACUCAGCUUUGCGGAAAUCACGGGCAAUUUGUUAAAGCGCCAAUCCCAGAUAUCGAAGAGGCGCCAGUCUUUUCAGCCUUGUCAGCACCCGUCACACGCAAACUCAGCUUUGCGGAAAUCACGGGCAAUUUGUUAAAGCGCCAAUCCCAGAUAUCGAAGAGGCGCCAGUCUUUUCAGCCUCGUCAGCACCCGUCACGCGCAAACUCAGCUUUGCGGAAAUCACGGGCAAUUUGUCGAAGCGCCGAUCCCAGAUAUCGAAGAAGCGCCAAUCUUUUUCAGCCUCGUCAACACCUAUCACACGCACACUCAGCUUGAUGAAAAUUACGGACAAUUUGUCGGAAAAUUAUGAUAAAGAAGAAAGCACGUGAAGCCAUACUGAUCAAUCACGCAUUGGUUACCGACACGAGUAAAAGAAUAGUACCUCUACAGGUACUAACGAAUUUCCUAUAACUGUCCACCUUCACCUUCAUAGCAAGGCAGACACACAGAGCCUCUCUUCAUCUCAAAAAAAUGUUUUCCCAACGAAACCUCUCGAGUCAUUCGGUGUUCCUUAUUCGUUGGAGUACCUCUGCAAGCCAAUGACUCCAAAGCAAAAGUAUCUCAUAUCACCAGGGUAGAAAGCAAGAGUAUCUCAUAUCAUGCACUCUCCCUGUCAUUUCCUUUGUCCUUGUUCCUACCUACAAAGACAAGGAUAAAGAAAACAAUAUGCCGGAACUUCCACUCAAACUCGGGUAAGGAACUGACUGCUUGGAACCCUUCCGUGAUUGCCUACCUAGCACUGCUCUCGAGUACUCGCCUUCCACUGCUGCUGUACUUUCAAAGAAGCUGCCACAUCUGCUUGGAGGACAGAUAAGGCAAGUGAAAAUGAUACCUUGCAGCAUGUGGAGACAAGGUGCAGAAGGAACAAGCAGAGAAGAAUGCGGUCUGCACGAUCAACUCAGCAGAAUGAGUCCGAACUGAGGAACUCGAGAAGCUGCCACAUCUGCCUAAAGAAACAAGCAGAGAAGAAUGCAGCAUGCACAGUCAACUUAGCAGAAAGAGUCUGAGAUGAAGAACUCGAGAAGAUGCCGCAUCUGCCUGAGGACGGUGAACUCGUUUUGACCCUCAAAUUCUUGGGUCGACUUACUAGGCGUUGUGGGCUGCACGUGCCGAUUCACCACCUUUGAAUAAAAUCCUUAAAGACCAAGUCACCAAUCGGAAGAGGAGCCCAUCAAUCUCGAAGAUCAUACCGUUGACCAAACUACUCAGGUGUGAAUUAGAAAGAUUGAACAAAGCAACAAGUCGUCACCUUCACCUCGUGCCUGCUUGCCGUGUGUUCGAGUCAGCCUUCAAGAAUCAAGCCUCAACGGCCUUUGAAGAAGCUUCCAGCCAAAUUCAAAAUCAAGCCUCAACGGCCCUGGAAGAAAUCACAAGUCCGAUUCAAGAUUAAGUGUCUACCAUCCUUGAAUCAAAACCUAGUUCAAGAAUAAGCUGUGGAAAAUCAACAAUUAGAGGAAUCUAGAAAAUCCUUCAACCCAGUUCAAGAUCAAAGCUGUGGAAAGUCAACAAAGCGCAACAAAAUACGUGUCGAUUCACCCACUACCAAAGCCAAAGAUCAUCUACCACAUGAAGCUCCUUGUGGUCCAAUUUCAACCUUCAAGAUCAAGCCUCGACGACCCUUGAAGAAAUUUCAAACAAAAAAUUCAAGAUCAAGCCUCAACGACCCUUGAAGAAAUCUCAAGCCCAAUUCAAGAUCAAGCCUCAAUGGCCCUUGAAGAAAUCUCCAGCCCAAUUUAAGAUCAAGCCUCGACGGCCCUUGGAUCGACAUCUACAGUAAGGGACUUCAAAACGCAUCUCCUACACGUGACAAGCACAUGUAUACGACGUGCCUUGAAGUGGGGGCAUUUGUAGACAUCGAAAUUUCGUAAAUAAAUGUUGACCGAUAAAUCAAAGUGUCAACGCUCAUGUAUUACAUAAAUUUUACACGUAGCGUGUGACUCAACGAAAAUUGAAAUGAGUUGGAAAAGUCAUCAAAUAGGACAUGUGUCAACACCUGGCAGAAACGACUUAUUUCAUCUGGGAUAUUAUAUUCAAAAUUAGGCAUUGGAAAAUUCUAUAAAUACAAGCCCAUUUCAUUCAUUUAAGGGAACCAAUUCAUAUUACACCUUGAAGCUCUGAAGCUCUGAAACUCCGAAGCUCUCAAGCAUCCAGGUUCCCGAAGAAUCAAGAAAGCCUUCUUCGUUCUUCGUUCAUCGUUCUUCCAAGAUCAAGCCCCGACGGCCCUUUGGAUCAACAAGCAUCCACCAAUUCAAGAUCAAGCCCCGACGGCCCUUGAAGAAAGUGUUCUUCGUUCUUCGUUCAUCGUUCUUCCAAGAUCAAGCCCCGACGGCCCUUGGAUCAACCAUCCACCAAUUCAAGAUCAAGCCCCGACGGCCCUUGAAGAAAGCACCAUCGUUCAUCAUCAGUUCAUCCAAGAUCAAGCCCCAACGGCCCUUUGGAUCAACAAACGUCGACAAACCCACACAUCCAACCGUUCUUCAAGAUCAAGCCCAAAAGCCCUUGGAGAUCCGUUCAUCACUGUUCUUCAAGAUCAAGCCCAAAAGCCCUUGGAGAUCCGUUCGUCACUGUUCUUCAAAGAUCAAGCCCAAAAGCCCAUUUGAAGAUCCGCUCAAAUCCACCUUCAAGAUCAAGUCCACGGCCCUUGAAGAACGUUCAUCCUUAGAUCAAGCCCAACGGCCCUUUGGAUCAAUCACACAUCCACAAAUACACACCUUACGGAGAUCGAAUCAGAGGAUCAAAAUAGAGAGAGAUUGUAACCCAAAAUCAUCAAAUACAAAUAUUUGUUUGUGCCGCGUUGUUCUUGUCUCUUUCGUUUCAGGAAUUUUCCGUGUUCACAGUUGGAUUAUGACUUGUUCUUGAAUGUCGGAGUAUGACUUCUUAGUGAGUGUUGGAUUAUGACUUGUGGAAUGUUGAAUUAUGUGUUAGGUUACAGGUGUAUAUUCAAUAUGAAUACCUCUGAUGAUGAUGUUCAGGAUUUGGAGGAUGGUGUAAUUAUAUGCGCUGUAGCGAGAGCUAUUGAAACAUAUGCAUUCUUCUCUAAGGAGCAUCAUUGAACGAACUUUUGGGGUAUGGAAGAAAAGAUGGGCAAUUUUAAGGGAUAUGCCUAAUUACCCGUUCAAUAAGCAAGUGAAGAUUGUCAUUGCUACAAUGGCUCUUCAUAACUACAUACGGAGGUAUUCUGAAAGUGAUCGUCAUUUUGAUGACCCCAGGGACUAUUGUGAAGAGAGCGAUAAUAGUGAUGAUGAUGAUGAAGAAUACCAAAAUUAUCAAGUUGAAUGAUCCCAUGAGAUAGAAGCAUUAAGAAAUAGAAUAGCAGCAAGUUUGAUGAAUGCAUCUAAUUAGACUACUUUCAAGUACAUUAACAAUAUUGUACUAAUGAAUCCUAGCUAUUCAGUCUAAAAUAUUUCAAUUGAAAUACUUUGUCAUACUAAUUAAUAUUUAAGAUAAAGUUUAUAAAUAUUUCUUUUUAAAAAAUAAAGUAUAUUUAAUAAUUCACUUUUAUUUGUUAAGAAAAUUAAAUUAAUAGCACAUAUAGUAUUAUACCCUUUUUGGUCAUUUCACACAGUCACAGCUUUUUUACAUAAAAGUUUACCAAACACUUUUUUUUCCAAAAGCACUUUUACAAAAAAGUUUACCAAACACUCUGCUGGCUUUAUUUCACAGCCGCUUAUUCUCACAGCACAGUCGUUUAUUCUCAUAGCAGUUUUUUUUCAAAGCACAGCAAUACCAAACCAGCCCUUAGUAUGCGUUAGAAAUUGUGCCGCAAAAAAUUUAAAAAUGGUAUGAAAUAUUAUGUUUGAAAAAAAAAAAAGAUUUUGUUGCAAAAGAUUAAUAUUAUUUACAUAGAAAAUGUUAGGUAGAUUGUUACAUACAAAGAUUUGAUCGGCACAUUCUACACAAGUAGUUCAUGUGGCCUUUGAUUGAUAGUACUUGCACACAAAAGAUUAUAGAUUUUUGUAUUAUUUACAUGCAAAAAUGAUAAAGUUCGUAAAAUUUUGUAGCAGUUACCUCACAUAACUUCCCUUUCGAAAAAUACGAAUUGAUGUGUAUCCUUGAAUGUGAUUCCUGAACAUUAUGAGCAAUCUUAAGAGGGUAAGGAAGUGAACAACAAUAUCGCAUCUAAAGUAAUCUGAAGCAAUAUAUUAUAACCAUUUAAGAUAUCACAUAAAAGCUUAAUAACCAUAGCUACAUUGAAGAAUACAAUGUGAAAUGCAUAGGACAGUCUAAAACAUGAGUCCACCCAUGUGCCACCCGGAGGUUAACAUUUCUCUGUUCAAGUAGAGAUACAACAAAAACAAACUAAUGUGUCAAGAUCUUUGGAAAUUGCUACUGCCUUGGGGGUGGAACUUAAAACUAUUAUUUAUGUUGUUUAUAUGGCUAGCUUUGGAUUGGGGUUUGCAUUCUCUUUAGAUUGAGAUUCUUCUUUGGCAAUGCAUUUUCUUUCUAAUGGAUCUUCUUAGGGUGCCUUGCCAUUUAUCGGUUGAUUGGGCAAAUUGUUGCAUAUUCUCUCUCCCCAUCCAUAUUCUGCUUUCUCACAUUUAUUGCGAAGGAAAUCAAGUGGCGGAUUGUUUGGCAAAUUAUGGUGUUGAUUAUGUUGCGGUUCAUUGGUGGAAUUCUUGUCCGCCAUGUGCAAUUGCGGCUUUUGCUAACAAUCUUUCGGGAUUUCCAAUUUUUCGUUUCUCUUAGGAAUUGUCUUAAUUGUUUUUUGUUUGUAAUAGCCUUCUACUUCUUGUUAGGGUAUGGUUUCAUGUUCCCUCUAACUUUUUGUAUCUUUAUUUUUUAGGAAAACUAACGAAAAGUCCAAAAAAACUUCUUUUUUAACGAAAAACCCAUUUUAAAGGUAUAUUGAAUAGUGUCAGUUAAAGGUAAAAAUGUAGUUUUUCAUUAAAAAUGAACAGUACCGGAAGUGUUUUGUUAAAACUCUUUUUUUUUUCUUCUUCAAUAUAUUCACAAUAAUCUCUUUUUUAUGUUAGGUAUGUUGAAGUGGAAGUGACAUUGCUUUUUUUAUUAAAAAAAAGGAGUGAUGAGUGUGACAGGUUUCUGGUAGAAGUUGGAAUGGCUUCAAUCUAAUUAUGUUUGUAAAUUUUUUGGUGAAAAUCAUGUUUCUAAUUAUUGCUAGCCCAUUGUAUUAAUCUUAAAACAUCAUUACACUCGGUUUUGCAUUAAAUUUUCCGUUAGCUCUAACUACUUCAUGUCUUUUCUUAAAGUCUAUUUCCAAGUUUUCUUAAGUCUUUCUCUACCAAUUUUGCCUGAAAUAAAAAAAAUAGAUACAAGGUGUAUGGAGCAAGAAAUUGGAGAAAACUAAAGACAAAGUUGAAUUAUGUCUUCUUUUAGUUUAUAGAACAAAUAAUUAUUGAAUAUUUUUUAAAUUUUAUUGGUGAAAAAUUAGGUUUGUAAUUUUCAUAUUAAUCAUAGAUAUACAAAAUUUACAGAGGCAAAUAUCAUUUAAAGUUAAAAUUUUACAGAACAAUGGAGCUCUCAAUGAUGCCAAAGUGGAUGAUUUUGGCCACUUUUAUCACCACUAAUUUUGCUGGCAUCAGCUAGGCCCCAACCUGACCCGACCAAGUUGAAUUCAAGUAAUAGGUUUAAGCUCAAUGUUGGAGACAGAGGACUCUCUGGAGUAUGGAGUCUUGGACUGUUUUUUUUUUUCUUUCAGAAAAUGACUCGAAGCUUCUGCUGCUGAUAUGUUGGAACUUAAGGUCAUCUCCAACCGAAUGAGUUAUAUUUAGCCUUCAUCUAAAUUAUAGUCUUGUAAGAAAUUAUUUUUUAAUAAACAGUGUCAGAUCAUAUUUAUAUACAAUCUCUAACCGAAAGACACUAUUUUUAGUCACCUCAAUAAUUUAUUAUUUUAAGUUUGUUCUUUAAUUUUAUCAGUUAAUUGAAUUAAAUCAUAUUAAAAUAAGGUUUCCGGACAUAUUUUAAGGGCUACUUGUCCCUAAAUGUUGUUUUAAGUUUCAUGUUAUUAAAUAUUUUAAAUUUACUUGCAUGUUAACAACUUGAACAUUAAAAUGAUGUAAGAUAGUAUGGAAGGUUGAAAAUGAUAUGAGAAAUAGUGUAGAAAUGACUUAGGUACUUAUAGGGAAAAUUUUGAAUUAAAUUUUUUUUUUUCAAAUUCGUAUUAAAAAAAUAAAAGGCUACAUGAUGUCAACUAGUAGUACAACUGAGUUCAACUUUUAGGGCUGACUGUCUAUAUUUGCCCAACCCUUUGGCCAUUUGGCUAUAUUUUGGCUCGGUGGGUCCCAAAUUUUUUUGACCUAACCCUUUAUUGGAGAUUGAUUUUGUGUCAAAACAGGCUAUAUUUUAGCUUAUAGCCAUUUGGCCAGCUUGGUUGAAGAUGGCCUAAAAGUGAUGAAAGGACCCCCAUCCCCUUCCACAGUUGGCUUUUGAAGUCUUGGUAACUUGACAGUCAACUAUAAUGUCAACUGCUAAAGCCUGAUUCUAUCUCAAUUGCUUAAUUACAGCCUGAUUCUCUCUUAUUAGCACCUAAAUCCCUUUUUAAUUAUAUUGUUUCACACUUUGCGGUUCAUCUCUCUGCAACUUCCUAUGCUAAAGUUGGUAAUCUGGUAUCUCUAAUAUUCCUCUAUUCAUUUUGCCCUAAAAUAAAAUAAAUACAAGGUUAUGGAGGAAGAAAUAGAGAAAACUAAAGACAAAGUUGAAUUAUGUUUUCUUUUAGUUGAUAGAACAAAUAAUUAUUGAAUUUUUUUUAAUUACUGGUGAAAAAUCAGGUUUGUAAUUUCCAUAUUAAUCGUAGACAACAGAACUUACAGAGGCAAAUAUCAUAUAAAGUUAAAAUUUUACAGAACAAUAGAGCUCUCACUGAUGCCAAAGUGGAUUAGGAUUUCGCUGAUGCGUAUACUACUAUUUGGUUCCAAAAUAAUCUCUCUUCCAUGAUAUUAUUGUUGGAUAAUUUGGAAUGGAGACUUAUUUUCUGCAUCACGUGCUGGUUUUUGUCGCACUGACGAAACAAAAGUACUUUUGAAUAGGAUUUGGCUCUCGCUGAUGAUUCCGAAUCUAUGAUCAUUACUUAUUUGAAAGAUUGGCUUGGGGCGAAGAUGGUUUAUUUCCUAAAACUCCUUCGAACACAUGCUUUCCUUCGUUAAGAACCUCCUACUGAGGGUUGGGUAAACUUUAAUGUUGAUGGGUGUCGUAAGGGGAGGCCAAUUUCAUCAGUGUUGGCAGUGUCCUCAAAAACUCAUCGGGAGCAUGGGUUUUUAGUUUUUGUGCUACUCUUGGUCGAGGUGAAAAUCUAUGUGCUGAAGUUUGGGGUGUUUUUAUUGGGGUGCAUCUUGCAUGGAAUAACGGAAUUAAGAAAAUUAUGGUAGAAUCAGAUUGUGCUCUUACGGUUCAAUUCGUUAUAUCUAUCGUGAAAAGAAUUUUGUUACUAAUAAUUUGGCUUGUUUAAGUUUGUCAUGCAGUUUGGGUUGAGUUUUUUUUUUGGGACACUUUAUAUCCGGUCCUUAGUUGGUAUAGAUUUUUGACUAAAACCUUAUUGUUUUUUACUUUUUGAUUAAAGUCCCUAUAAUUUGUCCACAUCAGCAUUUACUGUCAAUAUAUUUCCAUGUCAGCUUUCUUUUUAUUUUACUAAAAUAGUUAAUUAUUGCAUUUUUUAUCCCACGCUGUGUUUUUAUUUCAGGACUCUUAUGCCUUCAACGCCUCUUAUGCUUACCGAACUGAAUUAACGCAUCCGUUCCACCAAAUAAUCACGCUCAUUUGAUUUCGUUCAGUUUUUUAUUUUCGUAACCGCAAAAUCCACAAUAAUCUCACUCAAAUUUUCAAAUUCAUCAUUAUUAUUUUUGAUAUGAAUCCUCAAUUUCACUUUCCGGCAAAAUUUGGGUCAAAAUCAUAUUUUAUCCGCGAGUGUUCGAAGGAGCGCAGUUUUUGGCAGGGGAACUUGUUGAAUCAACGACCCUUACGAGCUAAAAUUCCAGGUAUUGGAACUUCAAUGAUUUCAGCAUGUCCCUUAUUGUUUUGUAGUGUUUUUUUCUAGUGUAUACCAAGUGUUUGUCGAAAUGUUUGAAUGAUAAUUUUGAGUACAAUUCAAUUCAAUUGCACUGUAUUCGUGUUUUACAGUGGUCCAUGAUAUAUGUGGUUUUGAGUGAAUAUUUGAACAGUAAUAGAACUCUAGGAGGGGGUACAAACGAGUUGGCAUGGGGUAUAAUGCAAUAUUUUGUUGAGUUGGGGUAAUAACUAGGUGCGGAUACAUUCUUAAAUGUUGGGAGUGUGAAUUCAUUUUACUAACAUUGACAAGAAUGGGUACGAACUAGGUGGCAUGGGGUACAAUCCAACACUUGUAGACUUCCAGAAUUGGUAUGCAGGGGUACAAACCAGUUGGCAUGGGGUGUAAUGCAAAUGGUUGUUGAGUUGGGGUACAAACUAGUUGGUAUAGAUUUUGACAGGGGGUACAAACUAUUCGAUAUUAACAAGCAGUUGGCAGGGUUAAAAACUAUGAGAUAUUGACUAACAGGGGUGCAAACUAGCUGGUAUAGAUUUUGGCAGGGGGUACAAACUAUGAGAUAUUAAUAAGCAGUUGGCAGGGGUACAAAUUAUGACAUAUUUGACAAUCAGGGGUACAAACUAGUUGGUAUAGAUUUUGGCCGGGGUACAAACUAUGGGAUAUUAACAAGCAGUUGGAAAGGGUACAAACGAGUUGGCAUGGGGUGCAAUUCAAUACUUAUAGAUUGGCAUGGGGAAUAAUGGAAAAUUUGUUGAGUUGGGGCUGUAUAGGCGCGGAUACAUUAUCAGUGUUGGGAGUAUGAAUUCAUUUUAUUAACAUUGAGUUGGAGGGGUACAAACUAUAUCGUGAUGGGGUACAUUCUGAACACAGAUUGUCCCAAGAUCAUUUUACUAACAUUCAUAAGUGUGUAUGGCCCUUUCACCAGCUUGAAAAUUUUGAUAAACGAUGGGGUUCUGAAUGUACAUUGUAGGCACAUUCUCAACAUCUUGAAAAUUUUCUUAAACUUGUUAAUGUUACUAUAUUGUUCCCUUACUAAUAUGUUACAUAAAUACAUAUGGGAGUUGGACACAAGAUUGUGAUGAAGAUUUGUGCAAGAAUUUAAAUGUUUCUUUUUUGGAUAGGUACAUGAAACUAUGAGGUAUCGUUCGAGCCUUCUUCAUUUUGCUAGGUUGUACCCGAGAAUAGAAGGAUUUAUUCGUACCGGGCAUGAUGAAGAGAUGAAAAAAACACCAUUUUGGAACUUGUUUAAGGCAUAUCGUGAUGGUCAUGUUACAAGUGAGUUUUGCAAAAAAAUUGACACAGAUGUUGCUAGAAUAGUAAAUCAGUACAAUAAAGAUAUGAAGUUCUUUGUGUUUGGGGACAUUUAUGCGAGGUUCACACCAAGUGAUAUAGCUGCAAUUCUUGGCUUGCCUAAUAUGGGUUACACACUUAAGCAUACUGGUAUGAAAGGUGUGAGAGUGAAACACACUACAUUUAUGACAAGGUAUUUUUGCGUUCAAAAGGAUCGGGUUACAAAAAGUGACGUUGAGGGUGCACUUAUUAAAUCGGUUGCGGGGGAUACAGAAGAAAGCAAAAAAGAUUUUGUAAGAUUGGUAUGCCUAUACUUCUGCAACUCUCUAUUAUUCUCCAACACAGCAACACAUGUUUCAUGGACCAUUGUCAAAUUAUGCGAAGACCUUGAUCAAAUAGGUGGCUACAAUUGGGCAGCGGCUACUUUUGACUGUCUGUUCAGUUCACUUCACAGGGCAGUCAACCCGAGUUCAGUUAACGGUUGUGUGGUUGCAUUAUUGGUAAGUCACUUUAUAUUGAAACAAUUUUUGUGUGUAUAUAUGUAGUUAAUUUAAUGUCUUAUUAUUAAUAUGGUUGUGAAACAGUUUUGGGCUUGCGAUAAAAUGGGAAUGUGUAACAAAAUUGCUGGAAGGGAAAACAUAUGCCCGAGCUUUUUAAGGUGGAGCAUGACAGAUUUCCAUGAAAAGCUUAUAGUAACAGAUCUUGCCACUAUGAAGGUAUAACAAUUUUUUUAUUAACAUUAUAUAAAAAUCAUUCGAUUCAAGUGACAUUGUAUAUUGAUUUAACUUGCAGUCACAUGUGAACCACGAGAUGGUGCUUUAUGCACACGCGGAUGAUGAGAAUGUACCCAUAAAACUGGAUGAUAUACUUGGAAACGCUGUCAAUAAGGAGGAUGAAAACCACGCCAAUUCACAUAGUCCAGCAACUAAACUUGUCGAAUUUGAUGCUCCAAAUUGGCAACUCAUUGCAACACAAGAUUUUUAUUCCUCAUCAUCCAAGUUUUCCCCGAAUGUCAGCCCACGUGUGAUUGCAACGAAUGGGAUGAACGACAGUGCAGCGGAAAAGAACAACCCGCAGUCUGGAAUGAGUGAAAUGGAUAUUAGAUGUGAAACGGCUGAAAUAAAAGUGGAUGUACUGACAGAGUCAUUGAUUAUUGCUGAUAAUGAUUUGGAGGCUGCACGGAUGCAAAUAGAUACACUAAUUGAAGAGAACAAGAAAUUGAAAAAACAGUUGGCUGCAAUACAGAACAUGGGUUCGUAUUCGUCAGUACUAACACAGUGCUCCAUGUACAGACGAAUCAAAACAAGAGAAGGCAGGAUAAGGCGCAGGCUACCUGAUUUUAGCUAUGGAAGCACUAUUAAAAAGCGAAAUACCAGUAUGAAACGGGCAAGAAACUCAGCUGAGUGCAGUGUUGCAGCCCAUGAUGUCAGUCGGAAAAAGGUAAGAACCGACUCAAAAAAGAUUUGUAAAAAGAAGAAUGUGCUGAAACCAAUUUCUAUUAUAGACCCUGACUUUGUAGAGCCUAUGCGAACAAUGCUUGAAAAUCCGAAAGAGAAAAACACAUUUUGCGAUAGUGCUUCUAAGACUGUUGAUAAGCAUCCAUUAGUACAACAAAAGCAUGUUACCAGUGAUGAAGGCAUGAACUGGGACACCGAUGCUGUUAAAAAAAGACUUGAACUUAAAAAAACCCCUGUGGGUCCAUACUUUGAUGAUGAUGACUUCAACAGGCUUGAGAAAUUUGUGAAUGUUGAAUAUUCAGGGUAAGAAACCUACUUGUUAGUUGCUAUUGUAAUAUGUUUUUCUUUCUUUUUUUUUGGUACGUUGUUGAUUGUUUUUUUAUCAAUGUCAUAUUUUUUUGUAUUUUCAAAUAGGACUGCAUUAUGGAAAAGUGAUCGAGCUAUCAUCCUACAUGAGGAUAUUAUGUUCUUACUCACUAACCAAGCAAUCACUACAAAUGUAAGAUUAUUGAAAACUUGUUUGGAAUACUGAUAUAUUUGGUUUUGUAAUGUGGUUUUGCAUAAUGUUUUGAUUUUGUAGACAAUUGAUGCAUAUGGAGAUAUCUUACACAUGCACCUAGAUAAUGAUAAUAAGAAGAUACAGAGGGAAUCGUAUUUCAUGUCUGCAAAUAUAUGGGUUAGUAACUUAGUAUGGAUAUUUAGUUUUCAAAUUUUGAAUAUUAACCUUGUAUUGGGUGAAAUGGGUCCAUUUUAUUUAAUCGUUACAUGCCAACAGGAAUUCAAGAUCUCCAACAACCUAAAGGCUCUUGAAACAUUUCUUUAUAACCCAUUGCUUAAAGUGUUUGGCAAGUAUGACAUGAUAUUCUUUCCCAUAAGGCAUGGUUUUGAAGAUCACUACACUUUAGCUCUACUUGACACCAUAGAAGGGAAGUGGUACCAUUACAAUCCACGCCUUCCGGAAAAUGGAAAUCUGCAUAAUCCAUGCUUUAACGAUGCUGUGCAAUUAGUAAGUUUAUUUUCUUUACAAUGAAUGAAUACUAUACAAUCGGUUAAACUUGAAAUUUCCACAUUACAUCACCCUCCUAUCUGUAUCAAAGAACAUGUAUGUCAUUACUUUUUUUUUUUUUAUCUUUACGUAGAGGUUGAUUCAUCAUUAUCAUUGCAGAGUAAGAUGGUGAUGGAAUUCCUAAAACAUCAUCAAAAGCGUUCGAUAUUUGCACUUCGCGAGGGAGUUAUUGUCAAGGGUUUAUUCCACCCUGAUAGUGGUGCGAUGGAGGGGAAAAUGUACCCAAUGUCAAAUGAUGAAAAACUUACAUUUCAGAGUAUAAAGGAUAUCCACAUUGAUUGGCCAAUUGUGCUUGUCCAAAAGUGCCCACAACCUCCUCCAGGCUCGUGAGUACAUUAACUUAUUUUGUCAUUCCUAUUAUUUUGUACCUGGAAAAUAUUCAUAUAGUAGCUUAACACUUUAUGAGGAUUAUGAAUAUGCAGGCUUGAUUGUGGCGUCUCAGUGUUAUAUUAUAUGGAGCACAUGUCAAAGAUGUGGCCAAUAAUGGAAAAUUUUGAUGACGAUGAACUGCUCGAGUAUAGAGCAACAUGUGUGGGUGCAUUUCUGAACGAUGAAUCUAAUUGGUCGCAUGCAUAGGGCACCAACAUGCAGUCAUGGCUAUGAAUCUAAUUUGAUGUUUUUGUUUUAUGGUAAUAGAUAUGAUGUACUUUGUGUACUUUAUGGGUUUAUAAGAUUGUUUUUUUUUUAUGAGAACCAAUUGACGUUUGAAUCCAACUAAUGUGAUUACAUUUAAUUAGUUCAUGUUCACGAGCAUAAUGCUUUUUUUCUUUCUUAAUAUGCAGAAUGAAAAUGAAUUGUUAGAGGUACAAAGGGAGGGUACAUUCUUAACGAUGGGAUUUGAAUUCAUGUCACUAGUACAUUAUCAUUUGUUAGUGUUAAUGUAUUCUCACCAUAUUGAAUUCAUUUCACUUCUAAAUUCUUACUUGUUAAUAUUUGUUUUAAAAUUUUAGGUACAUUCUCGACAUCUUGAAAACUUUUUAAAACUAGUUAAUGGUGUUAAUUUGCACCCACUCUCACGAAAAGUGUGAGGGGUAACAUGAGGUAUCAUUCGAGCGUUGUUCAUUUUGAAAUUCUAAAGAAAUUGCACCUUCAACAAUAGAAGGAAAAGUUCUCUGAACAAAAAAAAUGUAGCCAAUGCAAACAGUAUUGUAACCCAUGCUGUAUGGCUCAACUUCUAAAAUUCUAAAUACAAAUGAACCAAAUUUGAAUACAUAGAAUAGAAGCAAAAUUGUCACACCAAGCUCAAAUUGUGUACAAUUUAAAUGUAAAAAAAUUAUGCAAAGACUGAAUAACAAUGGGAGUAGUAGCAUAAGCUUAUAUAAGAACUGAACAAGUCCUCUUAUUGUGAUGGCCCACUUGAUGACACCGACCACACUCCAAUGGUCUAGCUUCCUCCCCAGCAGAUUUGAUCCUCUUGAUCCUUGGUCUACCAGGUUGCUUCCUAGUUUUAGGAGGUUUCACUAUAAAAUCUGUAUCUUCACUCAUGGGAGGCUUAUCUAUUUGAGGAAUAGGUUGAAUUGGAAAUGAAUAGGAAGACUUGUAGUAAUCAGCGCUGAAAUAAGCCUCAGUGUAAUCAAAAGGAUUUGCACCAUUUUUCAAGAUUGCAGCAAGUGCGUGUGAGCAAGGGAAGCCUUUUAUCUGCCAUUGAUGACAUGAGCAGAUUUGUCUUUCCAAGUCAACCAUCAAUGAAGUAUCAUCGGUUUGCACUUCAAACACAAACUCACUAGACCGUCUAACAAGCCAAUGCCUACCAACCUCAAUAGAUGCAACCAUCUCAGCCUCCAUCUCCGGGCAUAAGAAAGUGGUCCAUUUGUUUGCCUCAAGAUAUCUUUCAGCAUUCAUUUCCAUCAACUUAAUUCUUAUACCAUCCACCAAUUGGUAAAUUGGUAAGAGACGCUCGUUACUAAUCCAUGCAUUAAAUGAUUCUGCAACGUUCGACCACAUUUCCCCGUACCUAACACAUCGAAAUAAUAAAAUGAGCAAUCUGCAUAAUUUGGUUAUAUGAGAAAUCUGAGAAAUCAAACAGUGUAGAAACAAGUCAUCUUCAUGUAAUAUUAUAAAAUGACACAUGCAUGAAUAAAAACGAAACUUGUAUUGUGUUUUGGAAGAUAGUAAAUUAACAAAAAUUGUUACCUUUUACCCUUGAAAAAUGCAUCGCAAAAAUUCUCUUGUGGGAGAUCCUUCAAAAAUUUGCGCAUUAUAUUACCUCCUUCCUUGACUAAAGCUGCUCUUUUCAAUUCAUACAUCUCGGGGGUGGCAGCAUAUGCACACUCAUUGAACUUUUGAACAAUUUUAUUUCGAAAAACAGAUCCAAGACCAGAGGGGUACUUUUCUAAUAUGUUUAGCUUGAUGUGAUACAAACAAUAUGCAUGAGGGGAGUCUGGAAAAGUAUGCGUCACAGCCGGAAUCAACCCCUUGUGUCGAUCAGAAAUGAAAGUUAUGGUACGUUGUUGUGGCUCCAAAAUCUUAGCCAAAUUUUUAAGAAACCAUAUCCAAUUAUUUUGGUCCUCACCACCAACUAAUGCGAAUGCAAGAGGAAAGAAUCCUUCAACCAACAGAUUAAAACAUGACAAAAUAAGUGGUCAGCAUUAUAUACCAAACUUAUGAAUAAAAGUGCAUCGUGAGCAAUAUACAUAAUCAGGUUAAAGGUACCGAAUCUUCAAAAUUUUGAAAGAUGCUAUAUAAUCAUGUUGAAUAGGAAGAGUUAUUAUUAUGCAAAUUAUUAAAAUAGAAAAAUUUAAGGGACAUGUGCAUACCUUGAUUGCCAUUUUUACCAAUUGCAACAAGCAAUGUUCCUUUGUAUUUGUCUUUCAAGAAAGUACCAUCCAAAAACAACAUAGGCCUACAAAACUUAAAACCCUCAAUAGAACCACCAAAUGCAAUAAAUAUCCGCUGGAAAUGAAAGGUUUCUUGGUCAAACUCCAAUUCGCAAUGAGAACCAGGAUUUGUUUUUUUGACAGCUUCUACGUACCAAACCAUUUGAUGAUACGACAACGAGUCAUCACCAUGAACUUUAGUUUUUGCAAUCUCUUUCCCAUACCAUGCAUUGUAAUAGGAAAUAUCUAAACCGUAGUCUCUCUUGAAAUCCAUUACAAUAUCAAUUGGUUUAAUACGGGGUCUGGUCCGUAUCUUUUCAACUAUAGCAGAAGCUACAACUUUGGAAGUCAUCAUACCACUUUUCUUCUCACGAAUGCGGCCUGUGCAAGUGUGUUCGUUAUUUAACCUCUUAAUAUAAAAGAAAUUGUUAACACGACAUACUGAUGCAUGCACACGCCAUUGACAACCUUCAGAAUAUUUCUUAUUACAUACAGCUGUAACUCUUUCCCUAUCAUUCUUCACAUACACAAAUGUGAAUCCCAUUUCAACCGCAUACUUACAAAGUUUGUCUCUGAAUUCUUCCACUCCGCCUUCAAAUCCUUGAUUUACAUGAUUGAUGUAGGUCUUCCAAGAGUUUGACAGAUACACUUUGCCUCCCGGUGUUGCAUAUUUCCCUAAAUAGUCAUUCCCAUCACUAUGAAUAUUUCCUUCAAUUAUAAAUGUUUGUGAAGCAUUGGUAUUUCGGCUGACACGAUCAUUAUCACGACACGACUUUUGGUUGAUAACUAUAUCAACACAAUAAUAUUUCUCGUUGACAACCGACAUGUGCAACAUCCGCACAUCCAUAUCAGAUUGCAAUAGGCAAGUAGAAUAUCCAGGUAAAGCAUAUGUAAGAUCGAAUAAACCAUGAGUCAAAUUACUAAGCCUUGAGCAAACCUCAUUGUACACUUCAGAGAAUGUAGUGUGGCAAAAAAUUGGGAUAGAUAUAGUGGUACCCUGAUGAGUGCAUCUCCCCAAUAUAACACCUUCCAUCUGAAAAAUAAAAGAAAGUAGAGACAACAACAACCCAAAGCAUUAUAGCUUGACAUGAAAAAAGUGCAUAUAAAUUUUCAUAAGGAAAAACAAGAAAGAUGAAUUAAACUAUGUCCAGUUACUAUUUGCUGUUCGUACCCCCACUCCAAAUACCGUAUAUGUCAAACAGAAAAAUAGAUGGCAAAAACUCUCUGCCUUAGCUAGUCCUCCCUUGAUUUAUCUGCUCAGUUUAAUGUUGUACCCCUGUCUAUACUUUUACAACUCUCUAUUAAUUUCCAACACAGCUACACGUGAACCAUUGGUAAAAAAUGUACACAAUGCGAUUGAAUUGUACCCAUGCACACCAUAAUAGAGAAAAAGACUUAUUCAAUAAUUUUUAUGAACAAUUUCUAUGCAUACAAAAAUUUCAUAUUCGAAAUUCUCUUUCAAACAUUUCGACAAACACUUGGUAUGCACCAUAAAAACACUGCAAAAACUACAAGAUACAUGCUGAAAUCAAUUAAGUUCCCCAAUACAUGCCAAAAAAUUUGUUAAAGAAUCAUUUUACAUAUGCAAAACCAAUUGCAAAACCAAUUGUGAAAACAAUACUGCACUACCUGUAAAUAUGGGUACAAAAAUUAUAAACCCAAGAAUCUACCAUUACGGCCAAAUCGGUAUAAACGAACUAUGGUGCAAAUUCAAAAAAUGAAAAAAUACCUCGAAUUUUAGCUCGGAAGUGUCGUUGAUUCUUCAAGUUACUCUGCAAAAAAAUGCGCUCGUUCGAACGCUCGUGGAUAAAGUAUGACUUCGACUCAAAUCUUGGCGAAACUUGAAUUUGAAGAAUCAUAUCAAAUAUAAUAAUGCUAGAUUUGAAAAACUGAGUGAGAUUAUUAUGGAAUUUGCGGUUACGAAAAUCAAAAACGGAAGAAAUCAAUUGUGCAGGAUUAUUUGGUGGAAUGGAUGCGUCAAUUCAGUUUGGUAAGCAUAGGAGGCAUUGCAGGCAUAAUAGUUGUGGAAUAAAAACGUAGCCUGGGAUAAAAAAUUGCAAUAAUUAACUAUUUUAGUAAAAAUAAAAAAAGGUGACAUGGAAAUAUGCUGGUAAUACAAUGCUGAUGUGUACAAACUUCAAGGACUUUAAUCAAAAAGUUAAAAGUAACAAGGUUUUAAUCAAAGAGGAUCAAUAAUUAGGGACCGGAUCCUAAUUUCUCCUUUUUUUUUUAACAAGCUCCCACUUCUUAUCAUCGAGUGUUAAUUGCAAAUAUGACUAUGAUUUCGUGAUAUUCUUACGUAAUUCUUUCUUCUUUUAGGGUUUAUGCUCCGCUGUCAUAAAAGAAAAAGACAUUGGAUUGGGAUUUCGGCCACUUGAUUCACUCACAUCAGUUUAGGCCCCAACCCGACCCGACCAACUUAAAUUCAAGUAAUGGGCUUAAGCCCAGUGUUGGAGACAAAAGGACUCUUUGGAGUUUGGAGUCUGGGACUGUUUUUCUGCUGCUCAUACGUUGGAUCUCCCUCCCAUACCCUUUCGCUGUUGGCUUUUGAAGUUUUGGUAACCUUGAAGUCAACUACAAUGUCAACUGCUAAAGCCUGAUCAAAUCUCUGCAUGCAACUGCUCCAAGGUAGUCUCUCUGGCCGCAACUUCCAUCUCAAUUGCUUAAUUAGAGCCUGAUUCUCUCUUAUUAGCACCUUAAUCCCUUUUUAAUUAUAUUGUUUCUCACUUUGCAAUUCAUCUCUCUGCAACUUCCUAUCCUAAAAUUGCUAUUCUGGUAUCUCUAAUAUUGCUGACAUGAAAAAUUCAAAAUGCUAUUUUGCCAAAAUCACAUUGGUUACUUUGAUUGGUGCCUGAUUGCGUGGUUUACAGUUAUGCCUCGUUUGGUGUCUAGGAUUGGAUUGGAAUUGAUAACCCUCUAAAGAUGCCUCGUUUGGUGUCUCGGAUUGGAUUGGAAAGGAUAACCUUUAAAUUCAACGUACAUUGAAGGGAGACCAAAAUUAUAUUUCGUUUUGGGGAGGAUCGGAAUGCACAAGUUUUUUUUCCUCGAGUAAUCCAUCUCCUACCCCCAACCAAGUUGACCGUAAUUUUUUCAUUUCUUCAUUCAAAAUACCUUGGCUUAUCCAUUCGAAUCCAAUCCUUUAUACCAAACUAGGCCUUUGGGUUAUGAAAGUAUGAUGCUUUGACUACUUUUGGGUUUGCAGGCUGCGAAUAUGGCCGAUUCUUCUUCUGAUUCUGUUUCUUUUACCCCUCCUCGAGAAAAGUAUGAUGUCUUUCUUAGUUUCAGAGGUGUGGAUACCCGUGAUACUUUUACCAGCCAUCUCUACGCUGCUCUAGUUCGCAAGAAAAUUGACACCUACAUAGAUUACAAGCUUGAGAGAGGAGAUAAAAUUGGACCUGCCCUUCUCGAUGCAAUAGAGAAAUCAAAGCUUUCGGUGGUCAUUUUCUCGAAAGACUAUGCUUCGUCCACAUGGUGUUUGGAUGAGCUUGUGCAUAUACUAGGAUGCAAGGAAAGAUAUGGACAGACUGUUAUACCCAUCUUUUACGGAAUAGAUCCAUCACAUGUACGAAAACAACAGGGGAGUUAUGCAGAUGCGUUUGCUCACCUUGAAAAACGUUUCAAGGACAAUUUGGACAAGGUGAACAAGUGGAGGGAUGCUUUGAAGGAAGCAGCCGAUAUGUCAGGGUUUGAUACUUCUAGCAAAAGAGGGUAACUUACUCUCUAACUCGUACCAAUUUCUGCUUGUGACCAUCUGGUUCAUCAAAUAUUUGUUAAGGCAUGCUUACUAAAUAUUGUAUCAUAUUUCUUAGGACGGAGGCCAAUUUUGUUGAGGACGUUGUCGAUGAUAUUAUGACCAAAUUGAAUCGCAAAUCAUUACGUGAUUUAAAGAAGGACAUGGUUGGAAUUGGAACUCAAAUUGAGCAAAUUGAAUUGUUAUUAUGCAUUGAUUCACCAGAUGUUUGCACCGUAGGUAUUUGGGGCAUGGGUGGUAUUGGCAAGACCACCCUUGCUGAAGCUGUUUUUCACCGACUCACUUCUAAAUUUGAGGCUUCAUGUUUUCUUCCAAAUGUGAGGGAGGAGUCAGAAAGACAUGGACUAAAGCACUUGCGGAAUGUACUUCUUCGUGAGAUACUAAACGAAAAAGAUCUAAAUAUUGACACUCCAUCUAUAGGACUAUGUUUUGUUCCAGAAAGGCUCAGCCGUACAAAGGCACUCAUUGUUCUUGAUGAUGUGAAUGAUUCAAAGCAAUUGGAACUUCUAGUUGGUGAUAAUAUUCGGUUUGGUCGCGGAAGUCGAAUCAUUAUAACUACUAGAGAUAGGCGCCUUCUUAAGGUAAUCGUUGAUGCUGAUAAGAUCUACAAGGUUGAGGGAUUAAACUGUGAUGAAGCUCUUCAGCUCUUUCAUUUGCAUGCUUUCAAAAAUAAAUCUAUGGUUCCAUAUUAUACAGAGUUGUCGGAAGUGGUGGUAGAAUAUGCUGGAGGCAUUCCAUUAGCUCUUAUAAUUUUGGGUUCCUUGUUCCUUCACUGUGAGAGCAAAGAAGAUUGGGAAGAUCAAUUGAACGAGUUGAAAAGGUUUCCCAACCGAAAAAUUCAGAAUGUGUUGAGAUUAAGUUAUGAUGGAUUAGAAAAAAAUGCAAAGGAGGUAUUUCUUGAUAUAGCAUGUUUUUACAAAGGGAUGGAUAUAGGUUUUACAAAAGAAAUGUUAGCUAUUCGCGGUUUCUUUGUAGGAGGGAUUAAAGUUCUCAUUGAUAAGUCUCUCCUAUCAAUUUCAACAAGGAACUGCCUAGAGAUGCAUGAUUUGUUACAAGAAAUGGGUCGGGAAAUUGUUUCUGAACAAUGUAUUGAAGAGCCCGGAAAACGCAAUAGGUUGUUCAUUGCUGACGAUGUCUGUCGUGUAUUGAAGAACAAUACGGUAAGAGAAAAAUGCCUUCAACUUUGUAUGACAAGACACCAGUGAAACACUCAUUUCAGUACAAAUUGCUGCAAUCUUAUCCUUAUUUAUAAUGUGUUUUUUGAUUGUAGGGAACUGCAACCGUUGAAUGCAUAUUCUUUAACCUCUCUCAGAUUAGAGGGAUACAAGUGAGUCCUGCAGCCUUCGAAAAGAUGUACAAUCUCAAAGUGCUAAGGAUUGAAAACAAAAGCUUUGACAAGAAGUACAACAAAUUAUACCUUUCUGAUGGUCUUCAGUCUCUUCCCGAAGCACUUAGUUAUAUUUACUGGGAGGAAUACCCUUUGAAAGCCUUACCAUCAAAAUUUUAUCCAGGAAAUGUUAUUGAACUCCGAAUGCCCUACAGCCAAGUUGAGAAACUUUGGGAUGAAAGCCAGGUAUUUAUUCUUAUUUUAGUUCUUGUAUAAAAUGGGGGUGGAGCUAUUCAAGGCUUACUUAUAAACUCUUUGUCAUUUCUCGUUCAUUUGUUACAGAUUUUUGGGAACUUAAAAGAGAUUGAUCUAUGUUUCUCCAAACAUCUAAUUGAAGUUCCAGAUCUAUCUCGAAGUCAAAAAAUUGAGCAUAUAAAUCUUGGUGGCUGUACAAGUUUGGUUCGGAUUCCUUUGUACUUUCAGUAUCUUGAAAAGCUUAAGCAUCUUCAGCUGGAAGGGUGCUCAAAUCUCAAAUAUCUUUCGGAGAUGCCAGGCAAUAUUGAAUCCUUAAAUUUAUCUAUGACUGCAAUAAAUGAAUUGCCGUCAUCAGUUUGGUCUCAUGAAAAGAUUUUGCACUUGGAUAUUCGAUCUUGUAAGAACCUUAAGAAUCUUCCAAGUUGCAAUUGUAAGCUGAAGAUCUCAGGUACUUUUAGUGUAAGAGACUGCUCAUCUCUUGGCAUGUUUUCAGAGCUUCCCAAGGCUAUAAAACUGUUAGAGUUGACUGGGACAGCAAUAGUUGAACUGCCGUCAUCAAUCGAGUGUCUUUCUGACCUCAUUGAAAUUCAACUGGAAAAUUGCAAAAAGUUUGCGAAACUCCCGUCAAGCAUUUGUAAGUUGAAAUCUCUUGAGAGACUUGAUCUCACUGGUUGCUCUGAAUUUGAAUGCUUUCCAGAAAUCUCGGAGCCUAUGGAUCAUCUAGAAUUUCUUAGUUUAGAAAGAACAGCAGUUAAAGAGCUGCCCUCAUCAAUCGAGUGCCUCUCGGGUCUCACUUCAAUCAAAUUGAAUGACUGCAAAAGGCUUGUGAGUCUCCCAACGAGCAUUUGUAAGUUGAAAUCACUUCACAGACUUGAUCUUACUGGUUGCUCUGAAUUUGAAUAUUUCCCAGAAAUCUUGGAGCCUACAAACCAUCUGGAAUUGAUUGGUUUAGAAAGAACAGUGGUUAGAGAGCUACCGUCGUCAAUUGGAAAGCUAUCUGGGCUUCAAACAUUAGAGCUAUAUCUCUGCAAGAACCUCGAGUUUGUCCCUAAUAGCAUCUACAAUUUGAACUGUCUUAAAACUCUUAGCUUUGAUGGCUGUUUAAAACUUAAAGAAUUGCCUCCCUUCUCGGUCGGGUUGUGCUCGUUGGAAAGACUAAACCUUAGUUACUGCAGCAUACUGGAGAUCCCUGAUCACCUCACUUGCAUAACCUCAUUACAAGAUUUAGAUCUAAGUGGAACCUUGAUUAAAAGCCUACCUACAAGCAUCAAACGAGCAUUUCAGAUGCGGUGGCUGCGCUUAACCAAUUGCAAAAGCCUUCAAACUUUACCAGAGCUCCCAUUGCUACAUUCUCUCGAAGCACAUGGCUGCACAUCUCUGAAGACAGUGUCAAGUUCAAGGACUGCACUCGCACAAGGUUGGGAUGAUUAUGAAGUUAUCCGAGGGCUUCCAGAGGAACUUAAAUUUUCGAAUUGUGUAAAGUUGGAUGAGAAUGCAUGGAGCAACAUAAUGUCUGAUGUGCUGAUUAGAAUUGUGCGAAUGGCAAUAGCAUUAUCAAUCCUUAGAGUUCAAGAUGAAGUAACAUAUGUAUGGACUCUCUCUCUAUCUCUCUCUCUCUCUCUCUCCCCCCCCCCUUGUUGUUUACUAGAAUAUGUUGGUAUGAUUUCUAACAAAUUAAGGUUGGAGGAGCUGCUAUUGUUUGAUUCAAUAAUCAUGAUGUUCAUCCAUGGCACAGGACUUUUAUCAUGCAAGAUAUUCGACUCCCUUUGUAUGUCCAGGGAGUGAAAUUCCAAAUUGGUUCAGCCAUCAAAAUGAGGGAUCUUCAAUAAAAAUCAAGCUUCCUCCAGAUUGGUUUAACACAGAUUUCUUGGGUUUCGCUCUAUCUGUUGUUGUUUCAUUUGAUAACUAUAAUGUUAUACGGGGUUUGAAUUUUGGAUGUAAAUCUAAUUUCAAAAACCGUUAUGGUGGAAGCCAUGAAUCUGAUCGUGAAUUCAAUGGUUGGACCACGGAUGAGACCAUCUAUAAUCUUGGAGAACAGGAUGACUACAAUUUCAAUGCUGACCAAGUGUUUGUGUGGUAUGGUGACUUUGAUCUUCUAGAGGGAGAAAAAUCCUCCAGUCCUUUUCCGAAUGUUGUCACUGAGCCCUCUCUGGACUUCUAUGUGGUUGAUCAUCUCGACAGACCCGAGGUGAAGGUGAAAAAGUGUGGGAUCCGCCUGCUGUAUGCCCAAGAUUCCGAGAAUUUUGAUGUCAUGUUGGGAGGUGAAACAAAAGUAGAAGAAGAUGCUAAAACUGAGAAACUUGGUGAUGAAUCUGCAGCUAGUGACAUUUUUAGCUCGUACAAGGAACAAGAAGAUGAAAUAUUCAAUCAGAGAAUUAGAAAGAAAAGGAGAACUGGAGGCGCAAGAGCAGUCAUGUUUGUGGAAGAAGAUAAUGGAACUAAGAGUCUUCCUGACAAGUCUGCGGCAAGUGUAAGCAAAGUUUUCAGCUCAUGCGACGAACAAGAAGAUGAAUUCCUUCACCAGAGAAUUGGCAACAAAAGAACAAAUAGAGGUGCAAGAUCAAGCAUGUUCAAAGAGACCAAAAUGUGGUGGUGGAUAUUGUUCUUGGUUUGGGCCUCUCUUCUUGUUUGGGUUCUGUCCUUCGUGUUGUUGUAAGCCUUGUGGGCUGAAGACGGUUUCGGGUUUCUUAAGCCUAUGGAUUUUCUAGCGCAGUCGAGCCCUUCUCCCUCCCGUGUACAAAAGUUAAUAAAAAAAAAUCGAAUUUUGAUUAUAAUACCAUUGAAGGUACGCAGUUCUCCCCAGUCCUCUAUAGUAUCUAAUUAUGUUUAAGUUUAAAUCACUAUUAUUGCAGCCAUCAUCUUAUUACAAGUUGCAACUACUAUAUCGCAAAUGGAUGACAUGAUUAAAGAAAUUCAAACAGAUUGUCAGAUUAUUGCUAAUUAGAAGUAGAUUUAAAAUUUAAAAUUGCAAACUUUCAUCUAAACUAAUAGUGACGCAAAGUUGACAUUCACACGGGUCCACAUAUCCAAGAUUCCCCUUCCGAUUGGGGCUUGCAUCCUUUUAAAAUUGUUCUCCACUAGACAACACACAAGGUUUGUGACAAUCAUAUUACUAUUUUUUAUUUCUCAUCCCGGACUUUGCCCUUUAAUUAUAACAAAUAAUGAAAGAUCUAAACAACGGAAAAAUAGAAGAAGAAGAAGAACAAAAAAAUGGCUUGCCGGCCAUGUCUUGGAUAUUAUGUUGAUGUGAUUCCCUUUUCUUUAGUUCGAUUAAUGGUUGAAAGUUUCUUGGCACAGAAGCCUGAUCAUUUAGUCUCUGCAUGAAACUGCUCUCUCUUCUCUUGCUUCCUAGCUAGUAACGAAGGCAGCUUUCUCUCUGCAACUUCUUCAUAGCACUCUUGCUUAGUUCAAUCUUGAAACACAACUUGUUCUUGAUUACAUUUUUUUCUCAACAUUUCCGGAGGCAAUUAAUUUCUCUCCACUUUGAAUUAAACUCUGCACUUUCUGAACAUAGUUGGUAUGAUAUCUCGUACUAAUCUCUUUUAUGUCACAAUUGUACGAAACUGGUCAAAGUUGGGGAGAUUUGUUGGUCCCUCAUUUCUUAAAUGAAUGAUUAAAUAUGCAGUCAAGCAUCUCUAAUUUGCAUGUUUUAUGAACAUAUGUAUAUAUGGCAAUUUAUAAACGUUCUCUUUAUUGAAUGUGUUGCAAUAAUUCAGUAUGACAAUAUAAGCAUAUCGUAUCAAAACUAGGUGGAAUGAGGAGGUACAAACAAAGGUGAAGGCUAAGAAGGAAUGUUGUAAAACCUUAUACAAGGAUAGGACCGAUGAAAAUGGUGAAAUGUAUAGAAGAGCGAAGCAAGAGGCGAAGAAAGCUGUGAGAGAAGCUAAGUUAGCGGCUUAUGACGAUAUGUAUAAGCGACUAGAUACCAAAGAAAGAGAGUUGGAUAUCUAUAAACUAGCUAGAGCAAGGGAAAAGAAGACAAGGGACCUAAACCAAGUGAGGUGCAUCAAGGAUGAGGAUGGAAAGGUUCUUGCUACAGAGAACGCGGUCAAAGACAGAUGGAGAGGUUAUUUUCAUAAUCUUUUCAAUGAAGGACAUGAAAGGAGUACUCCUUUAGGGGAGUUGAGUAACUCAGAAGAGUGUAGAAACUACUCCUUUUAUCGUCGAAUCAGGAAGGAAGAAGUGGUUGUAGCUUUGAAGAAGAUGAAGCAUAGAAAAGCAGUGGGCCCAGACGAUAUACCGAUUGAAGUGUGGAAAGCCUUGGGAGAGACAGGUAUAGCAUGGCUCACUGACCUUUUCAAUAGGAUUUUGAAAACGAAGAAGAUGCCAAACGAGUGGCGAAAGAGCACCUUGGUGCCUAUUUACAAGAAUAAGGGUGACGUACAAAAUUGCAUGAACUAUAGGGGUAUUAAGCUAAUGAGUCAUACAAUGAAGCUCUGGGAGAGAGUCAUUGAGCAUAGAUUGAGGCAAGAGACACGGGUUUCGGACAACCAAUUCGGGUUCAUGCCAGGGCGCUCAACCAUGUAGGCAAUCUAUCUCUUACGAAGAUUGAUGGAAAGAUAUAGAGAUGGGAAAAAGGAUUUACACAUGGUCUUUAUAGAUUUGGAAAAAGCGUAUGAUAGGGUCCCAAGAGACAUUCUUUGGAGGAUUUUAGAGAAGAAAGGAGUACGAGUAGCAUAUAUCCAAGCUAUAAAGGAUAUGUAUGAAGGAGCAAAGACUGCCGUAAGAUCUCAUGAAGGACAAACCGAAAGCUUCCCCAUAACUGUAGGAUUACAUCAAGGCUCAUCCUUAAGUCCUUACCUUUUUGCGUUGGUAAUGGAUGAGUUAACAGGAUAUAUUCAAGAUGAUAUUCCUUGGUGUAUGCUUUUCGCAGACGAUAUAGUGUUGAUAGAUGAAACUCAGGAAGGGGUAAAUGCGAAGCUUAACCUUUGGCGAGAAGUGUUGGAAUCUAAAGGUCUUCGCCUAAGCUGAUCAAAGACAGAAUAUAUGGAGUGCAAGUUCAGUGCAAAUGGAGGCUAAAAUGAGUUAGAGGUGAGGAUCGGAGAUCAGGAAAUACCAAAGAGCGACCGUUUUCGCUACCUAGGAUCUAUCUUGCAAAAGAACGGAGAAUUAGAUGGAGAUCUCAACCAUAGAAUACAAGCUGGAUGGAUGAAGUGGAAGAGUGCAUCCGGCGUGUUGUGUGAUCGUCGUAUGCCACUGAAGCUUAAGGGAAAAUUUUAUAGGACGGCAAUAAAGCCGGCGAUGCUGUAUGGCACAGAAUGUUGGGCGGUGAAGCAUCAACACGUACACAAAAUGGGUGUAGGGGAGAUGAGGAUGCUUCUUUGGAUGUGUGGGCACACGAGAAAGGAUAAGAUUAGGAAUGAGGAUAUCCGAGGUAAAGUAGGAGUAGCCGAAAUUGAAGGAAAACUGAGAGAAAAUCGGUUACGGUGGUUUGGACAUGUGCAAAGAAGGCCUACUGACGCUCCGGUUAGAAGAUGCGACUACGGGACAGAGGUUCAGGGCCGAAGGGGUAGAGGAAGACCUAGGAAAACUUUGGAAGAGACUCUAAGAAAAGACUUAGAGUACUUGGAUCUAACGGAGGACAUGACACAGGAUCGAGCACAAUGGCGUUCUAAGAUUCAUAUAGCCGACCGACUCAGUGACUUGGAUUUUUCAAGUCUCCAAUCGAGAAGUUUUCCCCACUCGGGAAAUUAAGGGAACACUACCUCAACCUACAUGCUCCACUCACAAAGCUUCAACAUACAAGCUUCAACAAAAGAAAAAUUCAAAGAACUUAGUGAAGAAGGCUUUGGUGUAUUUAACACAAUACGUUGAAAUGAAACAAAGCUUAUUUAUUGAUAUCUCUAAGAAGUUACAAAUAUGUACAUAUACACGAGCCAAAAUAAACAAACAAGAGGGAGCCUUCACAAAGGUUGCUUAAGAGAAGUCUCAGCAGUCGGCAGAGCCCCAGAAGAGAAGGCACCGGAUGGGGAUCAUUCGGAGCCUUAGUACUGGACAACACCCUAGAAGGAGGAGGCAUCGGAGGUUGAUCAUUUGGAGCUUCAUUACGCGGUACAGCCCUAGAAGACGAAGGCAAUAAAUGCCUUUGGAACAAACCCACAAACCUCUGAUGAUCAUGUAAAAUCUGACCAUCAGAUUCCUUCAUCUGGUCAAGCUUCAUCUUCAUGUUUGUAGCAUAGUCAUGUGCGAGCCGGUGCAACUGUUUAUUCUCAUGCUUGAGCCCUCUAAUCUCCUGUUUGAGACUCAUCACUUCAGCCGCCAAUGAUUCAACUUGGCGGGUUCGAGCAAAUAGGCGUUGGGCCAUAUUAGACAUAGAACCUGCACACUGAACAUUGAGAGUCAGAGAAUCCUUAACAGCCAACUUAUCAGACCGUUUGGAAAGUAGUCUGUUAUCUUUGGGAGUGAGAAGGUUCCUGGCCACCACCGCAGCGGUCAUAUCAUUCUUCAUCACGGAAUCCCCAACGGUAAGAGGACCAGUAGGGGAUAAGAAGGAUGGGCGCCAUAUGUUGUCUGGAGAAGGCGUGGCUGCCUCUUCAACAAGGUUCAAGUCAAAACGAUGGUCGGAGGGGCCAGACAUUUUCAAAGGUGUUGAAGAGAAAAGAGGUCGGACAAAUCAAGAUCUUAGAAAUGCAAGAAGGGAGCUUCUACUGGUGGAGAUUCAAGUGUGCUUUGGAACUUAAUACCAGCCUCUAUAAAAAUCUGCACUCGAUGGAGCUUCAGAAAUCGAAGAGGCGCCUGCUCAGAAAUUGAAAAGGCGUUUGCUUUCUUAAAAGCUGGGCUGCUCAGAGACCACGAGGGCCGAUAUCAGGAAUCGAAGAGGCGUUUGCUUUCUCAAAAGCUGGGCUGCUCAAAGACCAUGAAGGUUGAUCGCAGAAAUCGAAGAGGCGCUUGCUUUCUCAAAAGCUGGGCUGCUUAGAGAUCACGAGGGCCGAUCUCAGAAAUCGAAGAGGCACCUGCUUUUUCAGCCUUGUCAGCACCUGUCACAUGCACACUCAACUUUGCGGAAAUUACGGGCAUUCUGUCGAAGAUUUCUAGUGAAGUAGAAAGCACGUGAAUGUUACUGUUCAAUCAUUCACUUUCCACACGCAACAUCAGCUCACGGGUACCACAAAUAACUUUGCCAAAAAUCUCUGACAAAGUUUAGACACGUGAAGCUUACAGCUCCCAUUACAUCGCUAUGACCAAGAAGGGUAAAAGAAUAGCAAAGAAACAGCACUAACAAAGUUUAGACACAUAAAUUUUGAAGGUCUAGCUACCAUAUUAUUACCCACAAGGGUAAAGGAACAGGACCACUGCUGGAUAAUUGGAAAGUCCCUGUGGGUCAACCUCUGUGCUCCGUGGCAAGGUAGACUAGCAAACAGGCCUAACCUUUACUCACAUUCGAGAAAACACUCCCAACAAGAUUGCUUGCUUCAAGAUCGAAGAGGCACCGUCCUCCGAAUCUCGAGAGCCAGAUUCCCAACAUGAUUACUUUCUCAAAAAGCAACGAGACACCGCUCUCCGAAUCUCUAGAGCCAGACUCCUAGCAGGAUUGCUUUCUCAAAAAUCGAUGAGGCACCGUUCUCCGAAUCUCGAUAGACAGAUCCCCGACAGGAUUGCUUGUUCGAAAAUCGAAGAGGCACCGCUUUCUCAACUUCGAGAGCCCUUUAGAUAAAGCUUGUCUGUAAUCCUCACACCGCUUUCUCAACUUCGAGAGCCAUAUCUCGUUGGAUAAAGCUUGUCUGUAAUCUUCACACGUAACGUCAGCUUUCCAGAUAUCACAGACCACUUUUUCAAAGUGCUCUGACAGAGUUAAAACACGUGAAGCUGGCAGCUCCCACUACCGUGCUAUGACCAAGCAGGGUAAAAGAAUAGUAUUACUCCUUCUUGUUAGGGAAACUCCUAUAUAUGUCGACCUCCAUCCUCAACGGACAGGCAGACCUGCAAAAAUGAUCAACCCUUCCUCAUAUCUGAGAGGGCACUUCCAACGAAGCCUCUCGAAAUACUCAGCUUUCUUUCCCCCCGAGAAUACCUCUGCAAACAAGCUACACCAGAGCAAGAAUAUCUCAUAUCAUCAGGGUUAAAAGCAAGAGUAUCCCAUAUCAUGCUUUUUCCCUGUCUUUUCCUUUGGCCUUGUUCUUACCUGCAAGACAAGGAGAAAGAGAGCAAUCAGUCAGCACUUGGAAUCAAGCUUCCAGUCCGGAACUGACUACCUGGAACCCCAUUGCUCUCGAGUACUCAUCUUCAACAUCUUAUGCUUCCCGAGAAGAUACCACAUCUGCCUGAGGAACAAAUAGGGCAAGUGAGAAGGAUACAAGGAAGCAUGUGGAGACAAGCGCAACAGAACACGUGCUGAUACAUCCACUACUUUGUCAACAGCAAAAGUAUCCCAUAUCAGCAGGGUCGAACGUACUCUAGAUUUGAUGGACUUGUUUUGACCCUCAAAUUCUUCAGUCAGCCUUAUACUCUGGCGGAAACAAGAAAACCCUCCAGCCCAGUUCAAGAAUAAGCCUGUGGAAAGUUACUUCUUCAAAAGCAAAAGUAUCUCAUAUCACCUUUUCUCCUUUUCUUCUCUUUAUCCUUCAUGCUACCUGCAAGAUAAGGAGAAGGAUAACAAUCAGCCGAAACUCGAAAUCAAACUUCUGAUCUGGGAUUGAUUGCUUGGAGCUCUGAUUGCUUACCUUGUAUGUCACUCUUUCAGCAGAUCCCCUAGCUCGGCGACUUAGGGGACUCCUACUACAUGGUUUGUAUCGCGCUUGACCAAGUCUGAAACUACAAGUAAGCGUCAAGUGAAAUUGAUACAUUACCUUGUGCAUCUCCACCAGUUAAAGAUACCACCCCUGGAGGGAGGAAGAGUACUUCCAAAGAAGAUGCCACAUCUACCUAUGAGACAGAUAAGGCAAGUGAAGACGAUACCACACUUCGGUACUUAAAAGUUUCGUGAUUACGAGAUCAUUCUUCCACAAUAUUUCCUAAUGUCAUUUGUACUAAAUCAUUCACUUGUACUCACUAAAUGAGAGCUUGAACCUAUAUACUGUGUAAACCCUUCACAAUUAAUGAGAACUUCUUUACUCCGUGGACGUAGCCAAUCUGGGUGAACCACGUACAUCUUGUGUUUGCUUCCUGUCUCUAUCCAUUUACAUACUUAUCCACACUAAUGAUCGGAGCAAUCUAGCGAAGAUCACAAACUUAAUAUUUAAGAUGAUAUUCUUUGGUGUAUGCUUUUCGCAAACGAUAUAGUGUUGAUAGAUGAAACGCAUGAAGGGGUAAACGCGAAGCUUAACCUUUGGAGAGAAGUGUUGGAAUCUAAAGGUCUUCGCCUAAGCUGAUCAAAGACAGAAUAUAUGGAGUGCAAGUUCAGUGCAAACGGAGGCCAAUAUGAGUUAGGGGUGAGGAUUGGAGAUCAGGAAAUACAAAAAAGCGACCGUUUUCGCUACCUAGGAUCUAUCUUGCAAAAUAACGGAGAAUUUGAUGGAGAUCUCACCCAUAGAAUACAAGCUGGAUGGAUGAAGUGGAAGAGUGCAUCCGGCGUGUUGGGUGACCGUCGUAGGCCACUGAAGCUUAAGGGAAAAUUUUAUAGGACGACAAUAAGGCCGGCAAUGCUGUAUGGCAUAGAAUGUUGGGCGGUGAAGCAUCAACACGUAGGUGUAGUGGAGAUGAGGAUGCUUCGUUGGAUGUGUGGGCACACGAGAAAGGAUAAGAUUAGGAAUGAGGAUAUCCGAGGUAAAGUAGAAGUAGCCGAAAUUGAAGGAAAGAGGAGAGAAAAUCGGUUACGGUGGUUUGGACAUGUGCAAAGAAGGCCUACUGACGCUCUGGUUUGAAGAUGUGACCACGGGACAGAGGUUCAGGGUCGAAGGGGUAGAGGAAGACCUAGGAAAACUUUGGAAGAGACCCUAAGAAAAGACUUAGAGUACUUGGAUCUAACGGAGGACAUGACACAAAACCGAGCGCAAUGACGUUCUAGGAUUCAUAUAGCCGACCCCACUUAGUGGAAAAAGGCUUUGUUGUUGUUGUUGUUGGUUCUUUGCCAAAAUCAAAACUGAACCAAAGUUUCGGUUCGGUUCGGUUCAAUUUUCUUUUGAUUUUUUUUUGUUUGGUUUUGUUCGGUUCGGUUUCAGUAUGGUUUUGGCUUUUUUAUUUUAUUUUAUAAAACUUGAUCAUUUUUUAAUAUGGAAUUUAGAAAAGAGGCUUGCAUUGGUAGACUAUUGAUAAGAAAAUGGGCAAAGUGGGAAGGUAGUUAUACAUAUACAAGAUUAUAUAAACCAAUAUUUUUUAUCAACAACCUCAAUUGCAAAGAAAAAUGAUCACCGCCAUAUACAUUUAAAAAACAAACAAAUAGAGAAGCUCUUCCAAGUUCCAAAGCCUUCCAAAAAUUUCCCUUAUAACCAAUGGAAUAGCCUUCCUAAUUGAACCAAAUAUGCUCCUUGAAAAUGUCCUAGGCUGAGUUUCAAACUUGGCAACAAAGUUUCACAAAAGAAACAUCAUGGCAUACAUUUAUAAAGUGUAGAGGGAUUCGGUUUGGUUCGGUUUUUCCUCUUUCGGUUUGGUUUUUUUUCGGUUUUUGGUUUUUCGGUUUAGGUUCAGUGUUCGGUCCCUUUUUUUUCAGUUUUCGAUUUUUUGAAUCCACCCUAAUCAAAACUCUCUGCCAAGAGUACGACGUUAUCUUACAUUAAAAUAGCUGCAGUGGCAUGUUUUGACUAGCAAGUUUGCAGGUUAUGAGUUUGUAUGCUUCUUCUGCUGUAGCUGCGGCUGCCAUCCCUCAUCUACGAAAGUAUGAUGUAUUUCUUAGUUUCAAAGGUGAGGAUACCCGUUAUACUUAUACUAGCCAUCUUCAUACUGCUUUACGUGGGGAUAAAAUCGAAACCUACAUAAGUGACAGGCUUGAGACGGGAGAUGAAAUUUCACCUGCCCUUUUGGAAGCAAUUGAAAAGCCAAAGCUUUCAGUAAACAUUUUCUCAAAAGACUAUGCUUCUUCCAAAUUGUGUUUGGCUGAAUUUGUCCACAUACUACUAUGCAAGAAAAAUGUGGACAUUUUGUAUUCGAAAGUCUGGUCGACAUCUUUACGAAGACCUACUCGGUGUAACAUGACGUCUUCAAAUGUCGUGGGGCCAUAUUUAGUAUGACCACCCAAUCCAAGGAUAAAAGUUUCAGAGCUUACUUGAAGUAGUUCCGUGCAGAGUUGAAUAAGCAGUUGAAUAAGAAAAAGUAUGACUACACCACCCUGGUGGAAUGCUUUGAUGUAGCGGAUGACCUCACUGAUUGGGAUGACAAGACUCAGAAGAAAAUUUCCAAUCAGGACCAUACCAAGAGUUCUGAUAGGAAGUGAGAUGACCGUGAUACCCCUCCUUCUUCCCCUGUCGGAAUGACAGGGGAGGACACAAAGACAAACAAGCUUUGUUUAAACCAACGAAGUACACAACCUUGAACACCACCAUGAAUAACAUCUUCCAUAACAUCAAGGAUAAGCCUUACCUCAAGCGGCUGAAGCCUCUCCCUAACCAUCUGGCGAAGAAAAAGCCAAAUGAGUACUGCUCCUUCCACCAGUGUAACGACCACACUACUUGGAGCUGCCACAUGCUGAGAGCUAACAUUGAAGAACUACUUAAUCAGGGGAAUUGCUGGGAGUUCGUCAAAAGCAAAGCCAUAAAGGAGAAACCUGCUGAAAAGGAAAGACCUAGGCAAAUCCGGACGACAAGAGCUCACUGAUGAUGAGGAAGACCGGUGCCCGGCAAAGAAGCCUACCCUCAGCAUUAAUUGCAUCUAUGAGCCAAAAAGCAAGAAAGUUAGGAAUCUUGAACCAAGGAAUGGGACUCUAAUCACCUUAAGGUGGAACGUCCUCAAGUAUUGCUGACAACACUAAAGACCCUAAUCUGAACAACAAGUGGUUUGAUGCUUCGAUUAUAUGAGGAGAUAUGUAGGCCGUCCAUUUUGGAUCCAACCAUUAUAUUCAACGCGGUUGUCCAUGCAAAGACAAGUCCAUGGAGAACUCAUCUCUUUAACUCCCCCACAAUAAGCUAUUCGUCAAAGAUGAUCCCUGAUGUAAACACACGUUAUAUCGUCUUUUAGUAGAUCUACAUCCGUGAUCUGGUUCUCCUUCCUAGAGAUAUUUAGGCAAUCCGAUUGGGAUUCAAUCGCACCCUUAUCAAACCCUAUUCUUUUAUUAAUAAAAUUUAAAUGUGAUUAUUUUGCAACUUUUGUCUUUUUUUUUUCUUUUUUUGCGGUACAGAGAAUCCUUAAUAUCCUAAACAACACACGGCUUUGAAACUUCACAUAGUUGUAAGUCUAACAAUUCAAAUUGAUAGUGUCAGAUGAAUAUUCUAUUGCCAUUUGUUCUAGUUAGCAGCUUAGGAGGUUUGAACCAUAUUUAGCCCGGCUAGGAUAGGCGGACUACUGACAUGGGGACAAGGCUCCCUAAUUCAGAAAUCCAGCUCACCUCUGGCUUUUGGAAAGAUUAUACAGCCUAAAGAAUUAUGGAUUGUAACAUUAAAACCUGAGCUCUGCGCCAUCUGAGUGGUGGCUCCAAACUUCGACCACGAGUAUGAUUACUUCUAUCCCAGAUCAGCGUACUAAAUGAAGUAUGUUCUGCGACACCAUGUGUCCAAUGAAGGUCCAAAGAGGCAUCCAAACUAGGAAAUCCUCAAGAAGAAUUUUAUUAGAGUGAAACUCCGAUAAGCAGAAGUGCCUUGGCCAAGCCAACUAAGUGUAGUCUGGUCAGAAAUGCUCAGGUCCGUAAUGAAUUUUCAUUUAAUCUUUAUUAGGGAAGAACAUACAAUUUGAAGUGGGAAGGAAGCCCGUUCUUGGUACCACGCUGCGACUAUUAAAAUCCUUAUACCUAGAAUCGGGUAAGGUAAAUGAACAAAUGGGCAUAAGGUUAUGAUUAAAAGAAGAACUCUAAUAUGACACCAAGAACUAAAGACCAAUCUAGGUAUAACUCGACACUUUCUCAUCCUUAAUUCGAUCAAUGCAUUAAGGCAAGUUCGGAGCAAAAGCUUUUCAUGGGCCUGAUAUUUGGUGUCAGAGUAAAGUGGUACUCCGACUAUCGCAGUUAAAAUGUUCAUAAACACUAAGUUUAAGAGGUAAUGUAUUUCUGAAGAUGCAAACAAGACCUCGGUUUAAUCCAAUAUAGCUUUCUAGCGAUAGCAAUGCUAGAGAUGGAUUUAUGUUGGAUUGUAUUGGGAAGAACAAUGGAAAUUCAAAAAAAGAGCUGAACUAGACCAAUGAGACCAACCCAAGCAGCUACUCGCAUCCUAGCCGCCUCACCUGCUUUAGCGCCAAGCGACUCCCCUACGCGCUCCAGAGAGCACCGCAAGCAACCAUGGGCCAGGCCUAUUGGCGUAGCCUCGUUCCAACCCAGUAUAAGUUUCGACAUCAGCUCUAGUGGAGGCCAACGGCACCUUGUGAUGUUGCCCCGUUAAGCGUGAUGAAAACAAGGAAGGGAAGAAGAAGAAAGUAACAAUUUCAUACCUAGGAUUUUUCUCUAUGCGAGUCAUGAAUUUUAAAAAUAAGGAAUUUGUGAAAAUUCAAGCAAGGUUAUCCUAUUUAUACUAAAUCCUUAUGGUAAAGAAAAAGGAAAACUUUUUCUUACUAAGACUUGAAGAUCUACCUUGUCUUGGAAGAAAAUUCUAUGCAAAUAGGAAGUACAUCUCAUUUUGUUUCCUAUUUAACACAAACUGAUGUGGGGGCAUUUGUGGAGACAUAAAUUAACCACAUCCAAUAGGAAAAGGAUACGUGGACAAGACUCAGAAGAAAAUUUCAGAGCUAACAUUGAAGAACUACUUAAUCAGGGGCAUUGCUGGCUAAGAAAAAGCCAAAUGAGUACUGCUCCUUCCACUAGUGCAUCGACCACACAUGCUAUUGGCCUCCACAAGAGCUGAUGUCGCAACUUAUACUGAGUUGGAAUGAGGUUAGGCCAAUAGGCCUGGGCCAUCGUUGCUUGCGGUGCUCUCUAGAGUGCGCAGGGGAGUCGCUUGGCUUUAAAGCAAAUGAGGCGGCUAGGAUGCGGGUAGCUGAUUAGGUUGGUUUAAUUGGGCUAGUUCAGCUACAAUUUUUUUUCUUUCUUUUUUUGAAUUUCCACUGCUUUUCCCAAUACAAUCCAACAUCAAUCCAUCUCUAGCAUUGCUAUCGCCAGAAAGCUUUAUUGGAUUAAACUGAAGUCUUGUUUGCAUCAGCAGAAAGACAUUACCUCUAGUGUUAUGAACAUAUUAAUUGCGAUAGUUGGAGUACCACCUUACUUUGACACCGGAUAUCAAACCCAUGAAAAGCUUUUGCUUUGAACUUGCCUUAAUGCAUUGAUUAGAUUAAGGAUGAGAAAGUGUCGAGUUGUAUCUAGAAUGGUCUCUAGUUCUUGGUGUCAUACUAGAGUUCUUUUUUUAAUCAUAACCCAUUUGUUCGUUCACCUUGCCCCAUUUCGAGUAUAAGGAUUUUAAUAGUCGGAAAGUGCUACCAAGAAGGGACAUCCUUCCCACUUCAAAUUGCAUGUUCUUCCCUAAAAAAUAUUAAAUGAAAAUUCAUUAGGGACCUGGUUGCUUGCAUACAGGUUGGAAAACACCUUUGGAAUCCUUUUGUCAGGAUUUAUGUGUUGGACCUGAGCAUUUAUGACCAGACUACACUUAAUUGGCUUGGCCAAGGCACUUCCGCUUAUUGGAGUUUCACACUAAUAAAAUUCUUCUUGAGGACUUCCUAUGCCUCUUUCGGACCUGCAUUAGACACAUGGAGUUGCAUAACAUACUUGAUUUAAUACGCUGAUUUGGGAUAAAAGUAAUCAUACUUGUGGUCGGAGUUUAGAGCCACCACUCGGAUGGCGCAGAGCCCAGGUUUUAAUGUUACAAUCCACAAUUCUUUAGGUUGUAUAAUAUUUCCAGAGGCUAGAUGGUGAGCUGGACUUUUGAAUCAGGGAUCCUUGUCCCCAUGUUAGUAGUCCUCCUAUUCUAACCGGGCUAAAUAUGGUUCGAACCUACUAAGCUACUAACUGGAACACCACAAAAUGGCAAUAGAAGACUCAUUUGACACUAUCGAUUUGAAUUUUUAGACUUACAAUUAUGUGAAGUUUUAAAGUCGUGUGUUAUUUAGGAUGUUAGGGAUUCUCUGUACAACAAAAAAAAGGAAAAAAAAAAAGAAGACAAAAGUUGCACAAUAAUCACAUUUAAAUUUUAUUAAUAAAAGAAUAGGAUUCGAUAGAGGUGUGAUUGAAUCCCAAUCGGACUGCCUACAUAUUUAUAGGAAGGGGAACCAAAUCAUGGGUGUAGAUCUAGUAAAAGAUGAUAUAACGUGUGUUUACAUUAGGGAUCAUCUUUGACGAAUAGCUUAUUGUGGGGAGUUAAGGAGAUGAGUUCUCCAUGGACUUGUCUUUGCGUGGACAGUGGUGUUGAAUAUAAUGGUUGAAUCCAAAAUGGACGGCCUACAUAUCUCCUCAUAUAAUCGAAGCAUCAAACCACUUAAAGUUUAGAUUAGGGUCUUUAGUGUUGUCAGCGAUACUUGAGGACGUUCCACCUUAAGGUGAUUAGAGUCCCCUUCCUUGGUUCAAGAUUCCCAACUUUCUUGCUUUCUGGCUCAUAGAUGCAAUUAAUGCUAAGGCUAGGCUUCUUUGCCGGGCAUCGAUCUUCCUCAUCAUCAAUGAGCUCUUGUCAUCCAGAUUUGCCUUGGUCUUUCCUCUCAGCGGGUUUCUCCUUCCUGGCUUUGCUUUUGACGAACUCCCAGCAAUGCCCCUGAUUAAGUAGUUCUUCAAUGUUAGCUCUCAGCGUGUGGCAACUCCACCUUGUGCUGCUGCCCUGUUAAGUGUGAUGAAAUCGAGGAAGGAAAAAGAAGAAAGUAACAAUUUCAUACCUAGGAUUUUUCUCUGUGCGAGUCAGGAAUUUUAAAAGUAAGGAAUUUGUGAAAAUUCAAGCAAGGUUAUCCUAUUUAUACUAAAUCCUUGUGGUAAAGAAAAAGGAAAACUUUUUCUUACUAAGACCUGAAGAUCUACCUUGUCUUGGAAGAAAAUUCUAUGCAAAUAGGAAGUACAUAUCAUUUUGUUUCCUAUUUAAACACAACUUGAUGUGGGGGCAUAUGUGGAGACAUAAAUUAACCACAUCUAAUAAGAAAAUGAUAUGUGGACUAGGCGCUCACCAUGACGGUUCUACCCUUAACGUCGUGAGCAGGCAAUAGAUUACAUCAAGAGAGUUUGAGACUUGUCUGCCCUGUGGGUAAUAGGCCUUUGAGCCACUAACAUAUCAAAGGCGAUUUGGGUGCAUGAUAUGUCUUGCCACCAGGCCACACUCGGGCCUAAUGGUGUCAGGAAGCAGACUCUCUAGAGUCUUCUUUUGGGUGUCUGGCGCGCCUACGCUCUUACCGACAUGAAACUCAAGACUACUAGCUGGCAGGACUAUGAAAACUGAAUUGUACCUUCAAAGACUGCCUAGAAUGGUCUGCAACUUCCCUUCACAAUUGCCUGCUAGGGUUAAGUUCUUUAUAAACAGCCAAGUCAAACACAAGGAAACGACAAUCGUCAUUUAAUCCUCAUAACCUUCUCAAGUUCUUAAUUUCUCUCAAACUAUUAUGACUUAUGCAUAAAGGUCAUUUGUCGGAUCUUUUUCUCUAGAUGUUCAUCAAUGAGGCUAAUGAUGUUUAUUCUUUUGUAGGUGAAAUUUUGUCAAAUCGGUCAUGGACCCAUAUACAAAUUUUGCAUCCACACUUACCACGUCUUUCAUGCCACACUUAUACGUACCAUCUCUCUAAUACAGAUGUGACUCAUAUGCUUGGUGAGCCUUACCUCUAUUAGAAAUAUAGUAAAAGUGAUAUGAACAUGUAUUUUCACAAUACUUGGGUACUAACUGAUCAGUACUCAUUUUACUCAUGAAGUGGCCCAAUAAAACGAAGAAAAAUGUACUUUUAAACACUCAUUAUUCUGGUAGCCACACCCCUUUAAUCUCCUAACCAAACACCAAUAUUAUCUCUGAUCCACCAACAACUGAAGAAAAUUAAAACCAACAGAAAACUCAAUGGACUGAUCCAUCAUAGAUAUUAAUUUAAUCCUCACCAUAAUUUAUAUCUUGUACAAACACAUAGUUUGAUUCCUAUGCAAAACAUAAUAGGCAAUACCACAAUUGACAAAGGAGAAGAAUGAUGAAAGCUAUAAAAUAAAAAUAAAAAAUCCCAAAUUAUUGACCAUGGACAACUUGAGCAGCGGUGUCACAGCCCGUCUCGGAGAAGUAUAUUAUUUAAUUAUCGACGAUGUGAAAUUACCUAAAUACCCUUGGACGUUGAGAAUUAUAUUGGAGUGUUGUGGUUUUGACUUAAGGUUGUGGACCUAUUAGUUAUAUUCCUCUAUUAUUGGACCCAAUUAGAACUAAGUGUUCUCUUAGUUUUGAUUGGUGGCUUUUGGACCACACACACACCCACCUACCCUCUCUCUCCUCUCGUUCCCGUGCUCUCUCUCUCUCUCUCUCUCUCUCAGAUUCACUCUCUCUCUUCUCUCUUGUACGGACACAACCAGAAACCCUUGCAAACGUGACAGAUCGAAGAAGAAAAUGGUACCAUUGUGUUCCUAAGGUCCUCACGAGUUUAAAGGUACCAAAUAUAGGUAAGAUUACCUUCGAUUUCACGUCGAACCACAAAAACCGAUUUGAGGUACUAUUCAUGCUCACGUAAAAACUUAUGUUUUAGGGAAAUUUAAACUCAUAGGGAGCUUAAGGAGGUCCUUACGAAGCUCGGAGUAUUUCGUUUGAAGAAAUUGGAUGUCGGAAUCAUGAGAACGAAGAGUUUUAAAUUUGGCCGGAAUUAUCGAGGCUUUUUUCCGACGAAUUUCUGACGAGUUGGAGGUCGGGGCAGGUAUGGUUUUGUUUGUCUUGUUGAGAUCUUUAAAAUGGUACAAAUUUCAUAGAAAAUGGUGCAAAAAUGAAGAAGUUAUGAAGGUUUUUCGAUUUCCCAGUUUUCCGGCAACGGCGAGGAGUCCGGCGAGCAAUCGGAGAAGACGAGUGAAUAUUCCGUCAGAGUUGACGGAAUAUUCUGACGCCGUCAGGUAAACUUAACUGAAUCCAUUAGCUUUUAACAAAAUAUUCCACAGAAUAUUCCUAACGGGGUUAGAGAAUCUGUCAGGAUUCCUUGCGCGUGGCCGCGAGUAUUGCCGUGCACUCGCCGGCGCGUGGCGAUGCGUGCGGGGUCAGAAAAUUAUUUUACAAAUUCCUGGGUGAUCGUGACAUUGUGUAGGUCACUGUGGUAUAUUCAUAUACCCAAUUUGAGCUAUGUAUGAGAAGUUAUUACAUAGUUUGAUAUAUGUGCAUUAAAGUGACGUUUAUAUAGUUGCUUUUCCUAUAGGCGAGACCUAUCCGGAGGACGAGCGUAGCCAGGCUAGGCAUGGGGGUUACGACCCGGCUUCAUAUCUAUGAGUGGGCAGUUAUUUUCAGUCUAUAUAUAUAUACUUGACGUUUUUCCCAGAAAACGUAUUUAAGGAAAUGUGAUUUAAAUGUUAUGCUAUGCCUAUAUUUUAUUUUAGUAUAUGCAUUAUCAUAAUUUUGCAUAUUGUUGCAUGGUGCUGUGGAGGCUCAGGUAAAUUCAGGUAAGUUAUGUUUGGUUAUGUGAAUCAUCGAUGAUGUGAUAUGUGAUUGAAUACUGUUGAGCUCAUAAAACUGCACCUAGGGUGAUUGUGAUUUAGCCAGAGAUAUGAAGUACAUGCCUGUUUAUUAUGUCACCUCCCGCACCAUAUGCUCAUAUUAGAUCCAAUUUAGGUGCACAGUCUUGUCGUACAGACCUUAUUUAUGGUUCCGACUCGUAGGUGACUAGCGAUUUAUCGCCCGGCUAUUAUGUGAGAGUAGUAUUGGGCAUAAUUAUAUUACACCCAUGAUCGUCGUACAGACCUUUGCAUUUGGUUCCGACUCUUGUGCAGUAUAUUGCCGUAUAGGUCAUUGUAGUGACUCUGGUUAGAUUGACUUUUGAGCUAUGAAUUCAGCUGUACAGACUACCAUAGGGGUUCUGGCUAACAUGUUAUAUUUCUAUGAAACUAUUCUUACCUGAAUUGCUUAUUCUGUUAUAUAUAGGCAUGGCAUACAUACAAAUAUGAAUCUUGAUUUUGAGCAUGAUUUGAGAUAUAUACAUAUUUAUAUAUUCUAUUUUCUAGGAAAGUAUCUAUAUACUUGUUUUACGGCGAGGGGUUAGUAUAUUCAAAGGAAAAUAAGGUUUUUGUGUAAAUGUGUUUUGCUGACCCACUCAACUAUGUUUUUCUCCCCUCCAGGUUUUAGGUAGCAGAGUUUGGUGGCCACGAGGAAUCCAACGGUGCUAUGACAGAAUCCGAAAAGUAGGAUUCACCUUAGGGUGUUGUUGUAUCUUAGUAAUUGUCCUGCUUGACUGCGACUAGAUCUUCUUAUUGCUCUGAAAGUGAAUCUUGAUUUUGCGCACAAGGCUACGUCACGCUCACGUGACGGCCAACACGUCUUGACUUUGGUCAGGUGUGUCAAGCGGAAUGGAGAAGUCAUUGAUGGUGGCUUGCUUCGACGAAGAAGAGAGAUUGAGGGUGAUAUCUGCAGUGUUUGUUGCUAGAAUUGUAUAUAUGUUGGUGUUUGGCUAGAGAGUUAAGAAUGACAAGUUGUAAUUUUAUUGGGCAUCAUAGUCUGGUGAGUAAAAUGUAGUAAGUAUAACAUUACUAAAAAACUAUAACUAAAUGUAGUAGAUAUGUCACGCCCCGGACCCGGGGUCGGUAAUAAAAAAAAUAAAAUACUCAAACUCGAAUUCGAAACAUGAGUUAAAAGCUUAAUAAAUAACCGGAAAUUGAAACGGGUUGGAAAAUAAACUCCUCUUAUUAAAUAGCUCCAAAAUCCUUGCAGGGUGUACAAAAGUAAUAAAUUAAAAUCCUUAAAUUUCUCCUCAAUCACAGCCUCAGCUCUUCUAACACGUCUUGCCAAAUAACUCAUCUGUAAAAUAAUAGGUGAGGGGUGAGCAACAACCACCGUCGCUCAGUGAGUAGAAUAUGUAAUAUGCCAGUCAAGCUUGCCACUUUAAUCACACUAUAAAAUAGGAUAAUAAAAUCAAAGCUUUAGCCACGUAAUUCCAUAUCACAUCGUCCCUUCACAUGUUGAUCAUCUUCUAUCUUCUAUAUAUAUAAAGUGAGAAGCACACAAUGGUGAAGCAUUCUGAAAUGUCAAAAAUGUCCUCAUUUCAUACGUAAGGCUAUUGGAUAACUGCUCAUAAAAAUAGAGUUAAAAACGUAAAAAUAUGGAAUUACAUCUCAAUAAUGAUUCCGACCAUUGGAUCAAAUCACCCACACUUUAAAUUAAUUUUCACCCAUUAGAUUAAGCAUACAGUUACUGCUCCAGAUUAAAAAAAAGGAUAAUCGACCACAACUACUCCAGAUGGAAUCGAAGCACUCCAUAUCAGCAGUUGCAUAGAUUGGAGAUGGAACCGACCUCCAUCGCACGUUCUCGAUCACCACAGUGCAUACAAAAGAGUAAAUUGGGUAAUUUUCUCGAACAAUAUUCUUAUCUAUGCCAAAAUUUUGAAAUGGGUUUUCGCCAGAAAUUUUCACUUUCUGCUUCAAUUCAGGUACUCUGUGCCUAAUUGAAUUGUUCAUAUCUACUAAUGUUUUGAUUUAUUAACUAAUUGCCCACUUUAAUAUAUACUAAUUUGGAGAUUUUUACUUGAUUAUAAUUUGAACUAUUUGAAAUUAUUUAUCUUUACCAGAUUUUGUUAAUGGGUUUUGGACCAAUUUGUAGAAAGCUCUCUCUUUUGUGUAUUGGUUAUUCAGUUUCUGGCUUAAUUUUUGCCAUUCUGGAAUGCCAUGUUGGAAGUUCAAAUCAAAUACAGUAGCCGAAACUAAUGGAACACUUUUCAGAAAUUGUUGGAACACUUUUCAGAAAGUGGUGAAACUAUUUUUAGAAAAGCUACAUGUGUGUGUGCAUCAAAAGGUGGUGCAUGUGUGAAAGGGUGUAAAGAUGGUAAACACCAUCAUUGAUUGCAUGUGUGUGCAUUUGUUUUUAUUAAAAAACACUUGAGUGGUUUGUAACUUUUGCAUGUAUAAUUAAGCCUCUUGUAAGGCUUUAGAAAAAUCCAUCCGAAUUCCCAUUUCCAUUUUAGCUUGUAAGCAAUUGAGUUUGUAAACUCUUAUUAAAUAUAUCAAAGUGUUUGCUUGUUUUCCGUGCAGUUUGUCCAACACAAAAAGUUUGCUUCUUCAUUUAUUUUUUUCUUUGUUUAAUUGUAUUGAGAGUGAUAGUGAGAUGUAUGAUAAAGUUAGAAAACUUAUCACCCAAAUAUUUUUGGUAUUGAGUUAGUCAACUUUGAAAUACCAACAAUUGGUAUCAGAGCCAGAUUACCGUUCUGGCAAGUGCAGUAGCUAUGGCAUCUAACUUAGUGCAGCUCCAGGUUCCAACAUUGAAGAAAGAAAAUUAUGAAAGAUGGUGCAUCUAGUUCAAAACAUUGUUUGGAUCACAGGACCUAUGGGAAGUUGUCAGUAAUGGGUAUGAUGAACCCACUACUGAGCAAGAAGCUGCCUACACUGCAGAUCAAAGGAAUACUCUCAAGGACUUACGAAAGAAUGACAAGAAGGUGAUGUACCUUCUAUAUCAAGGAUUAGAAGAUUCAACGUUCGAGAAGAUUGCAGAAGCAACAACCAGCAAGCAAGUUUGGUACACUUUGAGCACAAUUUACCAAGGAGUAGAUCGAGUAAAAAGAGUUCGGCUUCAAUCAUUAAGAGCAGAUUUUGAGGCUGCUCAUAUGAAAGAAGGAGAAAACAUUUCAGACUACUACUCUCGACUACUUGUAAUUGUGAAUCAAAUGAAAAGGAAUGGCGAGAAGCUUGACGAUGUUCGUGUCAUGGAGAAAAUCCUUCGGUCACUCACAUCCAACUUUGAGCUUGUGGUGACUGCCAUUGAGGAAUCCAAGAAUUUGGAGACGAUGAGUGCAGAGGAACUGCUAGGAUCCCUCCUAGUUCAUGAACAACGCAUUCAGAAGAAUGCAAGCCCCACAACGCUAGAGCAAGCUUUGGAGUCAAAGUUGAAUAUUGACAAACCAAAUGGAGGUCGUGGACAGUGGAAUUCACGUCAUGGAAGCUCAUCCAAUCAUAGCCGAGGACGAGGCCGAGGAAGAGGUUGAGGCUAUGCACAAAACCGAGGUCAAUCUCAAUAGUGGAGAUCUACUUGAGGAAAGGCGCAUAUCCAGUGUCACAGUUGCAAGCAAUAUGGACAUUAUGCCAAUGAAUGUUCAUAUAAAAAUGGUGAGCAUGUCAACAUGGCAGAAUCAAGUGGAAAUGCUGGUGAGGAAUUUACAGUCUUACUAGCACACCAUGAUAUCAGUAGCCAACAAGAUGUUUGGUAUUUGGACUCUGGUGCAAGCAACCACAUGUAUGGAAAGAAAGAGUUUUUUGCUGAACUCAAAGAUGGGCCUUAUGGAUCUAUAAGUCUUGGUGACUCCCCAAAGUUGCCAGUUGAAGGCAAAGGAAAGAUCAAAAUCAUCUAGAAGGAUGGUAGAGAAGAAUACAUCUCUGAUACCUACUACAUACCAUGUAUGAAAAGCAACAUUCUGAGCAUUGGUCAAUUGUUCCAGAAAGGGUAUGUUAUACAUAUGGAGAAUAUGCUUCUCACUCUCAGGAAUGCAAGGAGAAAGCUUAUUGCAAGUGUUCAAAUGUCAAAGAACUGAAUGUUCCCGUUGAAGUUGAACACAAAGAUUGGAAGCUGCAACAUUGGUGUGAUAGAAGAUGAGUCAUGGAAAUGGCAUCUUCGGUUUGGCCAUCUUCAUUUCAAUGGCCUAAAGUUAUUGUCAAGUGGAGAAAUGGUUCGUGGUCUACCCCAGAUUGAAGCCACACACCAAGUAUGUGAAGGUUGUGUGCUUGGCAAACAAGCACGAUCAUCGUUCCCUGUUGGUGAUAUAUGGAGAGCAAAGGCACCACUGCAGUUAAUGCACACGGAUAUAUGUGGUCCGUUGGAUCCUAUGUCCUAUGGAGGUAAUAGGUAUUUUAUUACCUUCAUUGAUGAUUUUAGUAGGAAGACUUGGGUUUAUUUUCUCAAGGAGAAGUCGGCUACCCUAAGAAUCUUCAAUGAGUUUAAGGCACUCACAGAAGCUGAAAGCAACCACAAGCUUGUGGCUGUGAGAUCAGAUAGAGGUGGAGAGUACACCUCAAAUGCUUUCCAAGCAUAUUACAAGGAGUAAGGAAUUAGGCAUCAACUGAUUGCUGCCUAUACCCCACAACAAAAUGGGAUAGCCGAAAGAAAGAAUCAAACCAUCCUUGACAUAACAAGGUCUAUGCUUAAAGAGAAGAAUUUGCCAAAAGAAUUGUGGGUAGAAGCUGUAGCUUAUUCGAUUUAUUUGUUGAAUCGAUGUCCAACAAAGAGUGUCAAGAGGAUGACACCACAAGAGGCUUGGAGUGGAUACAAGCCGAAUGUUGCACACUGCAUAUGCUCAAGUUCAAGAAGCCAAGAGGAGGAAACUCGAUGAUAGAGGUGAGAAGUGUGUGUUCGUGGGCUAUAGUGGAAAGUCCAAGGCAUAUAAGCUUUACAACCCACUAACUGGAAAAUUAGUGGUUAGUAGAGAUGUCAUCUUCAGUGAGGAAGAGGCAUAGAAGUGGAACAACAAAGAAGUUAGUAAAGAGAAGAUUGUUUCCACUGAUUUUGAAGAACCAGAAGUUGUACCACUUAUUAAGCAACAACCUGCUCAAUCAAUCACAACAACUCCAUUGCACAGAAUUGCAAGGAGUGGUCAUACUUCCAGUGAAGAAAGCAGCUCCUCAACUCCAGUGAGGCUAAGAAGUCUCAUUGAGAUAUAUGGACAAGAAAGAGAAGAAGAAACCAACCUUUUCUACUUGUAUGCAGACCAUGAGCCUCUCUCAUUCAAUGAAGUUAUGGAAGAAGAUCGUUGGAGAAUAGCCAUGGAGGAAGAAAUCCAUGCCAUCGAGAAGAAUCACACUUGGGAGUUAACAAAGCUCCCACCAAAUCAGAAGGCUAUUGGUGUCAAGUGGGUCUAUAAGAUCAAACGCACUGCAAAUGGGAGUGUGGAUCGAUACAAAUCAAGGCUUGUAGCGAAGGGCUACAAACAGAAGUAUGGAAUGGACUAUGAUGAAGUCUAUGCUCCAGUUGCAAGACUUGACAUGGUAAGAUUGCUAAUCUCUCUUGCCGCUCAUCAUAAAUGGAAAAUUUAUCAACUAGAUGUCAAGUCAGCCUUCUUAAUGGAGUACUUGAGGAAGAAGUGUACGUGGAACAACCAAAAGGAUUCCAAGUACAAGGAGAAGAAGAAAAGGUGUAUCGUUUGAAGAAGGCUUUGUAUGGCCCCAAGCAAGCACCACGAGCUUGGAACUCAAGGAUUGAUAACUACCUUCACCAAAAUGGAUUUCAGAAAUGUCCAUACGAGCAUUCAGUUUACAUGAAGAAUGGUACAAAAGGGGAGUUCUUAAUUAUUUGUCUCUAUGUAGAUGACUUGUUGUUUACAGGAAACAAUGAAGCAAUGUUCCAUGAGUUCAAGCAAUCCAUGUUCAGUGAAUUUGAGAUGACUGACAAUGGAUUAAUGUCAUACUUUCUUGGCAUAGAGGUGAAACAAGAAAGUGAUGGUAUCUACAUCUCUCAACAAAAGUACAUAAGAGAUAUAUUGGAGAAAUUCAAUAUGGACAAGUGCAAUAUUGUCAACACUCUAGUUGCAAUUGGAUUGAAGCUGUCCAAGGAAGGAGAAGGUGAGUUUGUAAACUCAACCGUGUACAAAAGAUUGGUUGGAAGCCUAAGGUACCUUACAAUCAUAAGACCUGAUAUAGUUUAUGGCGUUGGACUCGUGAGUCGGUACAUAGAAACACCAAGGAAGUCUCAUUGGCUGGCCGCCAAGAGAAUUUUGAGGUACAUAAGAGGUACUCUAAACUAUGGUCUGUUUUAUAAUUUUGGUGAAGAUGCAAAAUUAUUUGGUUAUUCAGAUAGUGAUUAGGAAGGUGACCAAGAUGAAAGGAAAAGCACAACUGGUUAUGUGUUUUUUCUAGGAUCAACAACUUUCUCAUGGACUUCAAAGAAGCAAUCAAUUAUUGCUUUGUCAUCGUGUGAAGCCGAAUAUGCUGCUAUAGCCUCAACUGUGUGUGAGGCAAUUUGGUUAAGAAAUCUGUUGAAGUCAGUGUGUCAUCCACAAGUGGAAUCGACUGUGAUUCAUGUGGAUAACAUCUCAGCUAUCAAGCUUGCUAGGAAUCCAGUCCAACAUGGAAGGAGCAAGCAUAUUGAUACCAGGUUCAAUUUUCUGAGGGACCAUCUGAAGCAAAAGACAAUUGAACUUGUCUAUUGUCACAUGAAGGAACAAGUAGUUGAUGUGGAUGCAAAUUUUCUCCUCUUCGAUCUUGGACGAUUUUGCACCUACAAAACAACUAGCACCUUAGGUUAAGGCCAAAAGCCUCACGCGCCCACGAUGAAUGGGGGGGGGCUUUGGCCGAAGAACCUCCGAUGCCAAAGUUAGAAUUUUAGAGAGAAAUAGUGUUUAGAGUGUUUUGGAAUUUUUGCAAGAGAUUUGGAAUGAGUGUUUGGUAAAAAUGGGUGACUAUUUAUAGGACCAAAUUGGUCCACAUCUUCAAGAAAUGGCCGGCCCUUUCUUUGUGCUUUGGGAUGAAUUUGUGGUUUUAUUAGCCACUUUAUUGGCUAAUAAAAUAUAAUAGAAAUAAAUGGGAAGUUACCCAAUUGAAUGACUAGCAUUAUUUGGCUAAUAAAGUGGAAGAAAUUUGAAAAGGUGUGGAGCAAAGAGAGGGAAUGUGGCCGGUCUACUAGGUGGGAUUUUAGGGUUUAUUUUAGGUUUAAUUAGCCAAUUAAUUGGCUAAUUAAAUAUGAAAGGAAAUGUUUUAGUAUUUAUGGUAUUGAUUGGCUAAUUUAAAAGGGAAGGAAAGGUGGAAAAGGUAGAAAAAGGUGAUGGAAUAGGCUUUGAAUGGGGUAGCCGGCCCUAUAUAUCAUUUUUUAGGUUUGAGUGGAUGUUUCAAAUUGAUAAUUAAGGGAUGAUUUUAGGAGAUAUGGGAAGAAUAUAUUAUUUAGAUAAUUAAUUAACUAAAUAAUAUAUUAGGGAAAUUAAGUUUUGGAAAUAAUUACCUAAAAUAAGAUAAUUUGGAAUUGGUUACCUCUUUUGGAGCAUUUUUGAAUUGGUUGAGGAUGAUUACCCACUACUUGCGCGUAGGAAUCCCGGUAUGCCUCAAGGGUAUUUUUGUCCUCUUUCAUUCAAAAGUCCACGUGUCGCCUAGCGAAUAUUUUUGGCUCCACAAAUGCCCCCACACCUGUUGGGCUGCUUGCAAAAAAGGGCAACAGGUGUAGAGAUUUUCUCACUUUAGGCAACUCUGAAUUGAUUUCUAUUUUGUUGUUGAUUCUCUCUUUAAAUGGAAAUUAGAUCCUUCUAGGAAAGGGAAAUAAAUUUCUCUCAAAGCCUAUUUAAGUCCACCUUAAGUGGGUUAUUAAAUCAACUUUGGAGAGCGAUUUAUUCUACCCUACAGGAGAGAGAUAGCUUAGAGGAUAUUUGUUCCCCCUCCUCUAGCAAUCUUCUACAUCUUGCCCGUGCAAAGGACCGUAUUUCGUUGCUUUCUUCGUCUUCUUCGUGCCGCACCAAUGUAAGAAAAAUUUAAUUUUUCUUGCCUUAUUCUUGGAUAGUGCUAUUGCGGGGUGGUGCGGCACGUCGGCUGGCAGGGGCCAGAAGCUGGCUCGGCAUGAGCUGAGGAGAUAUCGUGGCAGGGACCACUGCUUGGGCAGCUUGGCUUGGCCUGAGCCAAGGGCAGCUUGUGCAGCUGGGGUCGAGGAUUGUGGCGCUAGGGCACAGUGUUAGGCGAGCUGCAUAGCUCAUGUCCUUUGGGCUCUUGGACCUGACUCGGGCCAGGCUGACGAUUGAGAGAAAUAAGGAGAUUGCGGGUCUCAUGGGCUGCUGGAAUGUUGGGCAUGUAUGCCUUCUGCCUGCUGGAAUGCUGGGUUGAGCUCCCCUGCUGAGUACCAUGAAUGUCGUUGGCUACUUAGUCUUCUUUGCUGAAAGAAAGGUGGGCUGCUCCAGAAAGAUGAGGUAAAGAGGAUCAAGGCGGAUGCACUGGCUCGUCUGAUCGCUGUCGUGGAGCUUACUAUGAAUGAAGAUGGAAAGAAGAGAUCUUCCCCGCCUGCUCAUGAGAUGCCUAGUUAAUAAAAAACUGAAGACUUCUUCUGCUGCUCAUGAAGGUCCGCUUGCUACCGAGAGGUAUGUGAUUGACAUAACUUCUUCUAAUGGGAAGAAAAUAAGGCUGCUAGAUCUGAGCAUGUGGCGUCUUCCAUGUUGAGAAUGGCUAGUACAAUUGUGGAUAAGAUUACUCAGCGUAAAGGUUUUAUCAUGCCCCCAGUGCCGAAGUCUGUAGGACGUUCUUUAGGAGCCAAGUCCGGUUCACCUUUGUAGAGACUUGCUAUUAUGAAGAGUGGUAAGGUGGACUCUGCUGCUAAAUUGGCGCCAAAGCCUGCUCCCUUUGCUGCUGAGAUUGAUUCGCCUCAGAUUCAAUAUCUUAAGCUUGCAAUUUCUGAGCUUCGUUUCGCUACUUAUGCUAAGAAGAUAGUGGAUGAGCUUCUCUAUUUCUCCGGAAGACUUGCUUGCUUUUACUUUUAAGGCUUCCAUUGGUGAAGUAGUUGGAGAAGUUAGUGCCCAGACUGGGGCAGCCGGGGGUGAAGCGUCGGAUGAUGCCGCUGCUAAGAGCGUUACGGCUGUUGAAGGUGUGGCGACCGAGUAGUCAUGGGAUGUCCAAGCUGCUGUAAUGUAGUAUUUUAGGUAGCCUUUAGGAUUUUCUUUGUUUUUCCUUGUAGCUUUUGUUUUGCUUGAAUUCCUUCGGCCUUUGCUAGUUGUUUAUAAACAUGUUUUCCUUCGUUUUUCUUCAUCUUCACUUCUUUUGUUCAUGCCUUUAGACUUGAUAGACCAGUGGCAGGCAUGCUACUUUUUUAUAAACAGACAAACUCGCGUAGCCUAUGCAGCCGUAGGUGUUGGUGUAGAACUUUGCAAAGUUGUUAGCCAUAGGGUUGGCAGCCGGAUGCCUUACUUACAGAAGCAGACAAGUCCGCGUAACCACUAGGCUGUUAACCUUGACUUUCUUCAAUUCCGUAGGUUGUGUAGCAAGUAUCACAACACUUUAGGACUUGGUGUAGGUUGUUCCGCGCUUGGCAGAGGUGAAGCUUAUCGACUACGUAGCAUGUCGGCAGUGGAUAAAACUUCGUAUAUGCGCGCUAGCUUGUUUAACCUUUCACAAGAAUGUGCGGUUGUAUAAGUCUAGUGCGGCUUCACUGCUCUAAGGGCAAGCCGUAGGCAGUCUUCCGGAAUCCGUAGGCUACCUUAGUGCACUCGGUAGCAGCUUUAGGAUUCCAGGGCAGCCGUCCAUUGGAUGUACGGCGUAAUGUGCCCUCUCCGUCUCUAGGGCUCGGUUCCCCACGGAUUAGGCCAAGAGACCCAAAAUCCUUGAGUUAGCUAAGCCUUGAAAAAGACCAUUGCGGCUACUUCAAGGAAUCCCGGCGCAAGCCAUCGUGCAUCUAGUUAUACUAGGGCAGCCAGGCUCAUCCACGUCUGGAUAUUCGGAGUGUAAAGUUUAUCCUCCCGUCUUGGAGAGCUGACCCAUAUGGGUGUCGGAGAAUUGGUUUACCCUCUCGCACUGGAGAGCAUGGUUGGUCCCUCGGGGGGCGCAAUUCCUGCGAUGAGUCCCUAAGAAGGGCGCAAUCUUCUUUUGAAGUGCAUGAGUGAUUAGUUGUUGUAAGCAUGCAGCCACGCCAAGUUGUGAUUACUUCUAAAUUCCUCAUUGAAAAACGAGUGAAACGAACGAGAACUUUAGCUGUAAGGUAGGGACUGCAUAACAACUGGAUAGUCCUCAGCUUGUGAGGUGGUGCCCGUCGAGCUUAUUGAGUCUUCGGGUUUUGAUGUAGCGGGAGGUCACACAUGGUACUUCUUCAGAUUGUAGGCCAUCUAUUUCUUUUCAAUCUUUUUGCCGCUUCAUGGUGGUGAGGGUGUAAUUACUCUUACUCCCUACUCUGCUGAUCUUGUACGGACCUUCCCAGAUGGGAUCCAUCUUUUUGGAGCCUUCUCUGCCGGCAGUGAUGAAGGCUUUUCUGCGUCGUCGACAUGCAAAUGCCAGAAGUCUCCAUCGGGUGGAGUAGGCGCAGCUAGAGUGUGCUCGGCUACUUCUGAGGCAUCGUUGGGCCGCUCUGUUGUGUCACCUAGGCUCGGCGUGAAGGCGCAGUAGGGAGCUGUGGAGAUGAGGCCAUGUCAUACGCAACAGGAAAUGCUCAACUGCCGGUAUUGGGCCACUCUAGAGUUGAAUCAUUGAGCAAGGGUCGGCUAGGGCCGUGUGAUGCGCAGCAAGAAAUGGUACUCAACUGCCGGUACAUGUUGCUCCUAUGUAGAAUCUUUUAGGGUGACGAGGACAAAACUUGCUUUCGAGUGUGUCCUUCCAGUGUUGUGUUUGUCAGAAAACUUUACAUCUGCCAAGGUCAACGCCUUUAUCGUCGCGCGUCUGGAUUGGGCAGAAUAGUACGUCAUUAAGAUGAUUGCAUGCGUUUGAAAGUAAAACUUGUGCUUCUGGGUUGCAACAACUAUCGCCAAAGUUAGCUUUUGAAUUUUUAAUAACAUCGAGGAGAGCUUUUGAACUGUAGAAUACAGGUAAUUGUGGAAUACAGGUAGUCGGGCCCCCAUCUCUUCUCGCAUGAUGGUAGAGCUUAUUGCUACUUUAGAUACCGUCAAACAUGUGAAUAAGUCAUCCGCUGCUUCUAGGGAGGUGAUGUUGGGUACUUCUUCAAGUCAUUGAAUGUGCAUUGGCGAGCCUCAUCCCAAAGUGCAUACUUCUCUGCCAAAGCAAAAGAGUCUGCCAGAGUUAGAUCUUUUUUCAUGAUCAAUUUUCCGAAUAGCGGGUGGUCUGCUGGAAGUCCUUUUUGGAAGGCUGCUCUAGCUAUAGAGUCGUUGCAUCCAACUAUUUUUGCCUUCUCUACUUUGAACCUCCUCACAUAGUCGCGAAGCGACUCCUUUGGGUUCUUCUUGACGUUGAACAAAUGAUCAGACUUCUUUUUGAUCGAGCGAUAGGAUGAAUAUUCUUUGGUGAAAACCAAAGAAAGUUCGUAGAAAUCCCGGAUGGAUUGUGGCGGUAAGGUGUAGAACCAAUCUUGCGCCUCGCCUUGUAGAGUGGUGGCGAAUAUCUUGCACAUGAGCUCAUCGUUGUUUCGAUAAAGGAUCAUUGCGCUUCGGUAGCGCUUUAAGUGUCUCUCCGGGUCUUCAUCCCCUUUGAAAUAUGUGAAAUGUGGCAUGCUGAACUCUCGUGGAGGCUCUGCCUGCUCGAUCUCGUCCGUGAAGGGUGACCUGCUUAUGUUGGUCAUGUUCCGUCGUAGUGCCUCGUCGGUGACCUCAUUGCGUUGGAAAUCAUGCAAUCGCUUGGUCAAGAGUCUCUCUACUUCUUCCUGAAUUUGCCUUUGUUGGGGUAGUGCAGCUCUCGGCUGCCCCCAGCCAUAACUUGCUGGUCUAGCUGCUUUUCCUGUUUUGGCUCGUCUAUGUGUUGGCUGGCGUCGUAUAUGCAUGAUGCAGUGCAUAUGGUGCAUUCCUGCAGCAGGCGAGCGAGUUCUUUGCAGGCUGCUGGUUGAACUUGAGCUGGAUUGAGUGACUGCUUCUUCUCUCCGUCCGUCGUGCUGCCUACUCUGAUGUGAGGUGGAUGAUGCUCCUUGUGGGCUUAGCCGCGAAUGAACACUUUGUCUGGAAGGUUGCUCAUGUUGACUACCAGAGUGUAACCCCAACCGUGAAUGUAUGCUCAUUCGUUGGCCUAGUCGAGAGUACACGCUCCUCCGCGCGCUAAAACGGGAGUAUACGCUAUCUCGGGGGCCCAAUCGGGAAUGUACACUGCCUGAACGUUCAGCUCGUGGCUGGUUGAAUGGCUGCUUGCUGGGAUGCUGCUGGAAAGGUUCGUCUGCCCUUGUCCUACUUCGGGAUACCUCGUCCGGGGCACGUUGGAUCCCGAUGCGUUGCAAAAGUUGAUUCACCAAAGUUGUCUGUUGUGCAAGGGGCGCUCGUCAACUCUAUGACUUACUUGUCGAGACAAGUGUUGUUCGCCAUUUGGAUUGGAAGAGCUUGGAAUGAAUGCGCCUCCUUGAGCAGUGGAAGGGUGGUAGACUCCGGGCGCGAGAUUUGAGUUGGGAAAUGUCAAAUCCGUGAAAAAAUGUGGUGAGAAUGCCCCCGGCUCGAUGGUAGGUCCAGAUGGUUGAGAUAGUUUUGGGCCGACUUGGGCUGCUUGGAAAGCCACGGGAGCAGUGUGGGCCUUGAGAGUGGGGCUGCUCGUCGGGAGUGGGCUGCUCGUUGGGAGCAGGCUGGGUCACGAGAGCAGGCUGCUUGGCAGGAGCAGGUUGCUUGGCCGGAGCAGGCUGGGCCACGGAAGCAGGCUGCUUGGCAGGAGCAGGUUGCUUGGCGGGAGCAGGCUGGGCCACGGAAGUAGGCUGCUUGGCAGGAGUGGGCUGGGCCACGGGAGUGGGCUGCUUGGCAGUAGCAGGCUGGGCCACGGGAGUGGGUUGCUCGACGGGAGCAGGCUGGAUCACGGGAGCAGGCUGCUCAAUGCGCGGUGCAUGUGAAUGCGAGGCUUGGGCUUGGGUCCACGUGAACUUGGAUGGCACGGCUUGGAUCGUGGUCUUGGUACCGUGAGCCUUGGAUGGCACGGCUCGGGCCGUGGUGAAGGCUCCAUGGACCUCGCCACGAGUGGCUACCGAAGUAGCCAUCGUGGUGGUUCCCAUGGUGGCGGUGGUGAAGGCAUCAUGGACCUCGCCGUGGGUGGCUACCGAGGUAGCCACCACGGUGGUUCCCAUGGUGGAAGCUCGUGGUGAUGAUGCCGCUCCCCUUAUUGUCGCAUUUUGCCUUACGGAUCUCCGGGUCGUGGUGAAGGCUCCAUGGACCUCGCCACGAGUGGCUACCGAAGUAGCCACCGCGGUGGUUCCCAUGGUGGCCGUGGUGAAGGCACCAUGGACCUCGCCGCGGGUAGCUACCGAAGUAGCCACCACGGUGGUUCCCAUGGUUGAAGCUCAUGAUGAUGAUGCCGCUCCCCUUAUUGUCGCAUUUAGCCUCACGGAUCUCCGCAAUCCCAUUUCUUGAACAUUAGAAUUUUCACUUGUGGAAUUUUCUAAAUUUCUAGCCAUUAUAUUUUGCUUAUACGUUUUAUCAAAGAACCUUUGCAAGUAAAAAAUUCUAAUAAUAAGAACGUAUGAAAAAUAUUCAAAUGGACUAGAAAAUAAAGAAAAAACCUUUUUUGUGCGAGAGUCUUCUACGAGUAUGGAUUUCAACUCUCAAUGAAAGCACCAAUUUGUGGAUGCAAAUUUUCUCCUCUUCGAUCUUGGACGAUUUUGCACCUACAAAACAACUAGCACCUUAGGUUAAGGCCAAAAGCCUCACGCGCCCACGAUGAAUGGGGGGGGCUUUGGCCGAAGAACCUCCGAUGCCAAAGUUAGAAUUUUAGAGAGAAAUAGUGUUUAGAGUGUUUUGGAAUUUUUGCAAGAGAUUUGGAAUGAGUGUUUGGUAAAAAUGGGUGACUAUUUAUAGGACCAAAUUGGUCCACAUCUUCAAGAAAUGGCCGGCCCUUUCUUUGUGCUUUGGGAUGAAUUUUGUGGUUUUAUUAGCCACUUUAUUGGCUAAUAAAAUAUAAUAGAAAUAAAUGGGAAGUUACCCAAUUGAAUGACUAGCAUUAUUUGGCUAAUAAAGUGGAAGAAAUUUGAAAAGGUGUGGAGCAAAGAGAGGGAAUGUGGCCGGUCUACUAGGUGGGAUUUUAGGGUUUAUUUUAGGUUUAAUUAGCCAAUUAAUUGGCUAAUUAAAUAUGAAAGGAAAUGUUUUAGUAUUUAUGGUAUUGAUUGGCUAAUUUAAAAGGGAAGGAAAGGUGGAAAAGGUAGAAAAAGGUGAUGGAAUAGGCUUUGAAUGGGGUAGCCGGCCCUAUAUCAUUUUUUAGGUUUGAGUGGAUGUUUCAAAUUGAUAAUUAAGGGAUGAUUUUAGGAGAUAUGGGAAGAAUAUAUUAUUUAGAUAAUUAAUUAACUAAAUAAUAUAUUAGGGAAAUUAAGUUUUGGAAAUAAUUACCUAAAAUAAGAUAAUUUGGAAUUGGUUACCUCUUUUGGAGCAUUUUUGAAUUGGUUGAGGAUGAUUACCCACUACUUGCGCGUAGGAAUCCCGGUAUGCCUCAAGGGUAAUUUUUGUCCUCUUUCAUUCAAAAGUCCACGUGUCGCCUAGCGAAUAUUUUUGGCUCCACAGUUGACAUCUUCACAAAGCCACUGCCAGUUGAAUUAUUUCGGUUGCUGCGUGAAAUGCUAGGCAUGAAGGUAUUUUGAUUUGAGGGGGCGUGUUGGAAGUUCAAAUCAAAUACAGUAGCCGAAACUAGUGGAACACUUUUCAGAAAUUGUUGGAACACUUUUCAGAAAGUGGUGAAACUAUUUUUAGAAAAGUUGCAUGUGUGUGUGUAUUUUUUUAUUAAAAAGCACUUGAGUGGUUUGUAACUUUUGCAUGUAUAAUUAAGCCUCUUGUAAGGCUUUAGAAAAAUUCAUCCGAAUUCCCAUUCCAUCAGAAUCCCAUUUCCAUUUUAGCUUGUAAGCAAUUGAGUUUGUAAACUCUUAUUAAAUAUAUCAAAGUGUUUGCUUGUUUGCCGUGCAGUUUGUCCAAUACAAAAAGUUUGCUUCUUCAUUUAUUUUUUUCUUUGUUCAAUUGUAUUGAGAGUGAUAGUGAGAGGUGUGAUAAAGUUAGAAAACUUAUCACCCAAAUAUUUUUGGUAUUGAGUUAGUAAACUUUGAAAUACUAACAUGCCAGAGGCAUUUAUAGGAGUUACUAAAGUUACUCAAUUACCAGUUCUUUACAAAAAGCCUUCUUCAACCGCCAAAUUCUUGAGCUUUCAUCCCACCAGAGAUUGGUGGCUUCAGCUUCAUUGUCGCUCAGACUGGUGACCCAUUGGUGUCGGGUACGGUUUAUUUUGUUUGUCUUUUUUCCCGGAUUUAAUUUGAUGUAUUGUAUUAUUUAUCUGAUGACAAUGCUCCACUAGCUUCGAAUUUUGUGCUACACGUUAACACCCUUUGAUCAUCCAAGGGCUCUCAAUAGAGUUGGGGCGGCGGGAUCCGGAUCUGAGAUGGUUGAACACUCUAUAGCCAGUUAAUACUUUUGCCCACCAAUCCGCUCGGUUGUGUUCGUAACAUCUGUGUUGUGACGUUUCUUCAUCUCUCUUACUUGAGAUUCUUUAAAUUUUUUGUUCAAAUGUUAUGCAAUUGAUCGCUGGGCAUUUGAAGACGAACAGGGAGGAAAAAUUGGAUAAUUAUCCUCCUAAACUAAGCGGUUAUAAUUAUAAAACGUUGAAAAAAAAAUUGGAGCUCAAAUUUGAAACUGCAAUGAGCAGUUGCAAUUGGUUUUUUUCCUCUCCCGCAAAAACUAAAUUGUCUUCACUCUUAGGUAUGUUAUGUUGAUGUUUGAUUUAUUUUUAAUUUCCUUUUUUAUCAUUAGCUCCAUAUUUGAUCAAAUACUAGCCUCUCCGCACGCACAUGUGCGUGUGAGAGGCCUUUUUUCAAUCAUGUGUGCUACACGCCCCUAUAUGUGUCUUGCAUUAGUUUUUUUCAUUGUAAUUGUCAAAAUGGCUCACUAAACAAAUUGAAAACAACUAACGCACGACAUCUUUAAUAUAUGAGUUGUGGUUUCAUUCUUUUGGUUAACUUCGUUUAAUUCUUUUUUCCUCCUGUCCAUGAAUUAAUUUUAAUUAAUUUAGUACAAAUGUUCAUUUUUUGUUUCUAGGAAAUUAAAAGUUUGAACCUUUUUUAUUUGUGUAAUCAGUUUUGAAGUUUGUUUCACAGGGAAAAUAUGGAAGAAGGAAGAGAAAUAGCGGAAGAAGAGGGAACAAAGAUAGUUUAUCAUACUCAAGAGUGCAGGUAGUAUUCUGUGAUUUGGCAUAAUUUUGUAUAUAAUUGAUUUUUCUUCUCUAAUAAUCUUCCCCUAUUUCCUUUUGUUCUGUGUAUAAUAGAUCGUCUAAAAUUUACAAGUUCAUGGCUCAUUCAGGCUACAAAAGAUUUGAUUACUUUCUUUUUAGGAAUAUGAACUGGAACAACUUCAAAGUUCGGGUGUAAUUAUUUGUCUUAUCAAGUAAUUUACUGUAUCUUAUCCGUUUUUGUUUUUCAUGCAUGUGAUUGUAUUUUUGAUUGGAAGGUUAUAAAAAUGAACACCUUUUACAGUGCUCCAAAUUAAAUACGAUAGAUAUACAUGUUUUUGCACGAAUUAAAACAACAUUAUUACUACAUUAUGUAUUCAAUUUUAAAUUAAGGUACGGUAUCUAUACCAAAUAAAAUAGGGUUGGCAUAUUAAGAGAACAACCUCCAUUUGCACUUUUAAUAGAAAAAGGCUCGGGUUCGAUUGUAAAAACAAAAGCAAAAUUGUUACACCCUUUUUUCUUAAGAAUAAAAACAUGAUUAGGCGAUCUACUAAUAAAGAGAUUGGAAACUAAUGUAAUAAACUUUCAUCUUCUAUAGGAAAAUAUAAACAAGUUAAGCAUGACUAAUUAAGAAAACACCAUUUGCAAACACAUAAAAAUUCGUCAAUCAACUCUCAAUGAAUAAGAAUGUCGAUAGACAAAUGAACACCUAAUACCUCCUAAAAAAGGCUGCUUUAAUCAUCUCACACGCAACUGUUGUUUCACUAUUGCAUGAAAACAAUUGACGCAAGAUAUAAUUAAAACCGCGUAGCGCCGGUAAUUAAAAAAAUGCCUCUAGCUUGACCAUGAUAAAAGAGAUCAUGAUUUAGUAAUGGCAUCAUCACGUUAUAAGUAGACUUUAUUUUUUGUAUGUACAUAUUGUGCAUUGUUUUGUUUUGAAUCAAUGUAUCAAAACAUACCAUCAUUUGAUCAUGAUAUAUAGCUUGAAAAAUGUGACAUAAGCAGUACAAUUAAACAUUAAUGCCAUUUUCGUUUACAUAGUUAUCAAACAAAUUUUUUGCGCCCUUAAAGAUGUCGUGUGUUAGUCGUUUUCAAUUGACAAUUACAAUGAAAAAAACUAAUGCAAGACACAUAUAGGGACGUGUAGCGCACAUGAUUGAAAAAAGGCCUCUCACAUGCACGUGUGCGUGCGGAGAGGCUAGUAUUUGAUCAAAUCUGGAGCUAAUGAUAAAAAAGGAAAUUAAAAAUAAAUCAAACAUCAAAGUAACAUACCUGAGAGUGAAGACGAUUUAGUUUUUGCCGGAGAGGAAAAAAACCAAUUGCAACUGCUAAUUGCAGUUUCAAAUUUGAGCUCCAAUUUUUUUUCAACGUUUUAUAAUUAUAACCGCUUAGUUUAGGAGGAUAAUUAUCCAACUUUUCCUCCCUGUUCGUCUUCAAAUGCCCAGCGAUCAAUUGCAUAAAAUUUGAACAAAAAAUUCAAAGAAUCUCAAGUAAGAGAGAUGAAGAACCGUCACAACCCAGAUGUUACGAACACAACUGAGCGGAUUGGUGGGCAAAAGUAUUAACUGGCUAUAGAGUGUUCAACCAUCUCAGAUCCGGAUCCCGCCGCACCAACUCUAUUGAGAGCCCUUGGAUGAUCAAAGGGUGUUAACGUGUAGCACAAAAUUCGAAGCUAGUGGAGCAUCGUCAUCAGAUAAAUAAUACAAUACAUCAAAUUAAAUCCGGGAAAAAAAGACAAACAAAAUAAACCGUAUGCGACACCAAUGGGUCACCAGUCUGAGCGACAAUGAAGCUGAAGCCACCAAUCUCUGGUGGGAUUAAAGCUCAAGAAUUUGGCGGUUGAAGAAGGCUUUUUGUAAAGAACUGGUAAUUGAGUAACUUUAGUAACUCCUAUAAAUGCCUCUGGCAUUCCAGAAUGGCAAAAAUUAAGCAGAAACUGAAUAACCAAUACACAAAAGAGAGAGCUUUCUACAAAUUGGUCCAAAACCCAUUAACAAAAUCUGGUAAAGAUAAAUAAUUUCAAAUAGUUCAAAUUAUAAUCAAGUAAAAAUUUCCAAAUUAGUAUAUAUUAAAGUGGGCAAUUAGUUAAUAAAUCAAAACAUUAGUAGAUAUGAACAAUUCAAUUAGGCAUAGAGUACCUGAAUUGAAGCAGAAAGUCAAAAUUUCUGGCGAAAACCCAUUUCAAAAUUUUGGCAUAGAUAAGAAUAUUGUUCGAGAAAAUUACCCAAUUUACUCUUUUGUAUGCACUGUGGUGAUCGAGAACGUGCGAUGGAGGUAGGACAAUGUAGAAUAAGAUUAUACUUAUUUUGAAGCCCAAUGGUUGCUGGAGAUGGCCGGAAAAUAGCCUCAAAGUUGACUGGUCUGAGUGAAAACUUGAAAACUCGCCAGAAACUAGGUAAACUUUAAAGGUUCAUAACUUCUUCAAUACUCAACGAAAUCAAGUGAUUCAAAAAACGAAAAUCAUACUUCUCGACGAGACAAAAAGAAUGGUACAUUUUUCAAUGGCUAACUCGCCGUUGUUUGGCCGGAAAAUGGCUCGAAAGUGGCUGUCUUGGUCUCAAGUUAGCCACUUUUGAGCCAUUUUCCGGCCAAACCACGGCGAUCUAGCAGUAUAAAAAGGUACCAUUCUCUUUGUCUCGCUGAGAAGUAUGAGUUUUGUUUUUGAAUGACUUGAUUUCAUUGAGUAUUGAAGAAGUUAUGAACGUUUAAAGUUUACCCAAUUUCCAACGAAUUUUCUAGUUUUCGCUCAAACAAGUCAACUUUGAGGCUAUUUUCCAGCCAUCUCCGGUAACCAUUGGGCUUUGAAAUAGGUAUAAUCUUAUUCUAAACUUUCCUAUCUUCAUUUUGAUAUAUUAUGGGUCGAAUUUGGUUAAGAAACGAUUGAGUUACGAAUCUUUGAAAAUUGCCCAAACUUCCGGCCAAGAGCUCCGGAACACUUAACGGAGUUUUUAACGGAAUGAUCAAAAUGAUGGAUGGUGGACAAUCUCAGGGUCCACUUUUAUCGAUUUGGAAUCUCAGAGACCAAAGUGAUGAGUUUUACAAAUCUUAGGGACCAUUUUGAUGAUUUACCAUAAAACAUUUACACAAAAUCCAACAUGCUUGACUUAAAAUAGAUAGAGAUUUAUAAAUAGAUAUAACCCACAAUAGUUCAUGGUUUUCUUUUAUCAGAAAAUAAGAAUAUUUUAAACACAUUACAUAAACCACUCACCUUAAUAAUCCAAGCUUUGACAAGACAACCCAAUUAACAUCUCCGCACACCUCAAACCCUAGCUUUCCCUUUCUCUUUUCUUUUCUAAUCUCUCUCUAAACAUAUAUAAUAUUUAUAUACACACACAUACAUAUAUAUAUAUAUAUAUACACAUACACAUAUAUACACACACACACACACACAUAUAUAUAUAUAUAUAUAUAUAUAUAUAUGUAUAUAUAUAUACAUCAUCUCUACGUAGUGCAUGCAUUGCAUGCUUCUGUGGUUUCAAAAGAAUGGAGCCUUUGCUCCUAUUUAUAGGGGAUUGGAGUCGGCUAUAAUUAAUGUUAAAUGCAUGACUAAGCCUUUCAAUGAAGUGGUGGCAAUAGAAUGUAAGAAAUCAUCUAGGAUAUUGACAGCUACAUGGAAGACGUGUUCAACUUAAGUUGGAGGUGUCAUGAACAUGGGCUGCCAAGUAUAAGAAUCAUCAAAUUGUAGGUGCAGGUGUCAAAUACAGGGAUUAAGCAUAUGCAACACGUUUAAGUUAAUAGCUGCAUACGAUCAUCACAAUAGAGUGCAUAAUAAGCACUCGUAAUGAUUGCUAAAGGAUGAAAUGGAAGGUGGUGCUGUCAGUUUGCAUGAAGCGAGAAGAGCAGGUGCUACAUUCGUAGGAAUGCUUGAGGUAGAUUGACAGGUGGUAUAGUAAAAAUGAAUGGGUGGGAUCUAGUGAGUCUAUUCUUGUCACGCCCCGAUCCUGACAUACAUCCAGGAUUGACACAUGACGUCACCAAGUAUAUGUAUAUCUAACAUACCCCGCCUCCAGAAUAUGUACCAAGCACGCUCAAGCCUCAAAUUGAGUAGUGAUUUUUCGUAUACUUUAUGACUGCAUCUAACCUCCUCGUUAGACUGCCUACGUACCCUCAUUAGAAAUCAAGUCAUUCGUAGUUCGUCGUUCACUAAUUUAGACAAUUAUUAUAGAGCGUUCUAACAAGAAUACAUAACAUUCUGUAAUCAAUUAUUAGAACUUGACAUGCAUGACAUUACCAAGUUCAGGGCUACAAAACAAACCAAUAUGCCGCUCAAGAUUCUGAUUCCAUCCAUCAUAUAAAUUCCAUGAUUUCAGUACGAUACUUCCAUCCACAACAUGUAACAUAUCAAAUAAGCAACGAAGCACAUACUAUUCUCAAGCCACAUUGGUCAACUAAAAUAAUUAGAAUAAUAACAACCAUAACCAAGGUCAUUCCACAAUCCCGUCAAUCAAUCAAUUCAUGAAUCAAAGAUACAUGAUCUUAGCAUUUAAUUAUGUUAAUCAAUGAAUGCAGUAACAUAUCAUUUCACGAAUUUAACCGAGGAAUUCUAUAUAAUUCCCUACUUGGAUUAUGAAUAAAAACAUGGUAAUUCUCAUUUGUAUUCACAAGAUCUAUUGUGGGUAAUUCUUAUUCACUCGAAUCAAGGAUUCUAAGAUAACCUUAUGGAAAUGAACAAGAGCAAGGAUUCCAGACGACUCAACUGAAUCCAACAACAUCGGGUUCCGGACGACUCAACGGAACCAAAAUGUCACACGGUUUCUCGUAAUCCACCUAGACCUGUCACAUGUAAAAUCAAUGCCUACAUUAUGGGAAUGGUACACUGGGCAAAUCAGGCACUCAGAUAAGCUGCAAGGUUCGGGUGAGUGACAAUAAUACAAGUAUGUGAUAUUCAAUAAAAACAGACCAUCGAUCACAAUGUAUAAACAUCAAGCAUAUAAUCAUGCUUUAUGAAAUCAUAAUCAAGUAGCUGAAAACUCCGUAGGAGUCACCCAGACAUCCAACGCUUUUUCUAAUUCAGGCCACAGGAUUCCCAAAAACCAUCAUUCAUAUGCGCAUUAAAACUAGGGCUAGAGGGACGCAGUUUGGCCGAAGCCUACAUAUAUGUAACCAAACAGGAAGUGACCCCCUAUCACGGAUUAACCAAGCAGAACCACCCCUGCAAUAACCAAGUAGACAGUGACCCUCUAUCGUGGAUUAACCAAGCAUAGUCACUCCUACGCAUCUGUUAAGCAGUGAUCACCUAUCGCGGAUUAACCAAGCAUGAUCACCCCUAAGUGUGUGUGUAUGGCCAUACCAAAGAUAUAAGGAUCGCCUAUCGUGGAUUAACCAAGCACGAUCCAUAGAAAAUAUGGUCCUGUAUCGUAGAUUAACAAGACCAUGGUCCCCUAUCGCGGAUUAACCAAGCAGAGUCACACCUACAAAACUGUUAGGCAGUGAUCACCUAUCGUGGAUUAACCAAGCAUAAUCACUCCUAAGUAUGUAUGGCCAUAAGGAUCGCCUAUCGCGGAUUAACCAAGCACGAUCCAUAAAUACUAUGGUCCCCUAUCACGGAUAUACCAAGUAGGACCAUUCAUAUACAUCUACUACAUGGUGCAGUCAAUUCAACACACAAUCUACCCUUACUUCAACCCCUAUGAUUUACAAUAUAGGCACAUGCUCAAUCAACUUCUCAUGGCCACUAGCAUACAUAUCAUGCAAGCAUAUAAAUUCUAUGGAAUACUUCUAAUAGGAUUCUAGGAUCACAUGGUCAUAACCUUUAUCAUUCAUAUCAUUCAUAUUAUCAAGAAAAUAACUAAACACACACACACACACAACACACACAUAUAUAUAUAUAUAACAAUAUGACUCCCAUACGCAUAAACCGAUGUAUAUAUUAUCUGGGAUAACUUACUAACCAAUAUAGGCCCACUAAGCCCUACAUAGUCUCUAGUAAUAUUGAAUUUAAUAUCUAAGAUCAAUUUGUAACAUAUUGACUAUAAGUAAGCAGUAAUUAGAUUAAAACAUAUAAGGUUUCCUAGAACCCCCUACCUUGAAUUCGAUUAAUUUUGUUCCUUUGAAGAACCUAAUCGGAACAUAAAAUUACAAUCAAAAGUAUAAAUACAAGUAACACACCUUAAUAACCAAACUAAGUGUUUAAACACAAAAUUAAUAUUAUUUAAAGAAAGUACAUUGAUUCUGGAAUCUACCACUCAAAUAAUAUCACUCAAAUAGCAAUAAAGAAGAUUAGAAAGGAAUCUGGAAAAGAAAAUAGGUGUGGCAAAAACAAUACUAUGCUUCUCUACAAAAUCUGCAGAAAACAACACUAUUGGACCAAGUUUAGGCUCGCUUUGGAACAUCCAAAACUAAACCAAAUCAUGUAAUAUUAUAUGGGUUUUGAAGCUUGUGUUAUGUACUUUAAAAGAAUACAAAGUUUGUA
RNAcentral lists this long non-coding RNA (63586 nucleotides) under Malus domestica (apple). Its description in RNAcentral is "long non-coding RNA (MDOM_LNC009401)". Lineage: Eukaryota; Viridiplantae; Streptophyta; Magnoliopsida; Rosales; Rosaceae. The record is from RNAcentral.